This 58358-nucleotide long non-coding RNA is filed under the name Populus tremula. Its description in RNAcentral is "long non-coding RNA (PTRE_LNC002934)". The stretch from base 38501 to 38656 matches the Rfam family "MIR2912 microRNA precursor family". The record is from RNAcentral. Lineage: Eukaryota; Viridiplantae; Streptophyta; Magnoliopsida; Malpighiales; Salicaceae.
UUUCUAUUAUGGAUGUAGAGUAUGACUAAAUCAGUUCAAUAUAUCUUCUGUGUAAGUUUUUUAAUUGGCCUAAAAAAUUUGCGCCAGUGUCUCAUAGAUGAAUGCAUGUUUUGUGCAGAUUUCUCAUGCUAAUCCCAUUUUAAUUUCAUCUCUGUUUUCUAAUACUGCUUUUGCUCUAGAUGCUUGUUGCAUGCAUCAUAUCCCUAAUCUUAACAUUUCCCUCACGAAACAGCUCAACAAGCCCCGCCUCCCUCCCUGCUCAAAAAAUGAAUAAAUAAAUAAAUAAAUGGGGGGGGGGGGUUAUCAUGGGGCUCAUUAAUCUAGACAUUAUUUUCCCAUUUGAGCUAUUGGUCUACUUGUUAAUGUUUCCUGUACUACUUUGUGCAGCAUUGGAUCUCUCUUCUCCUAGCUGUAACAGUGAGUGGCUUGUUGGAGGCCUACACGGCACAACUUGAUAACGCAUUCAUACCACUUGUUUUCUACAGCCUUCUAUGUUUGUAAAUGCAGCUCCUACCUCAAAGAAAAGAAAAAAGAAAAAGAAAAGAAAAGAAAGAAAGAAUAGCCAAUAAGAAAUUCACCUGGAAGUUGCAUUAUAUCUGAUUGUUUCCUAUCCGCUAACACCAUUUUGUAGGCACACCUUACCCAAUUCUUAGAGAAUACAAACAUCUUGUUGUAUAGCAUAUUCAUUUAUAGUUUAGAUUGUAUCUGGAUUAGGCCUAGGAUUACCAGAGUCCAUGUUCAAUGCUGUAAAUACUGGUACUUUGGUUAUUCAUUGCACCACAAAUACAUGAUCAGAGCAGAUAAUUUUCGGUACAUGUUUUAUUUAUUGUAUCGUGUUGUAUUAAUGUAAAAGCUUAAUACAAGGUUUUAUUUUGGUUAUGUUGUAUGUGGGUCAUGUUCCUUUCCAGUGUUAGUAUGGAACCAAUGCGUGUUCUAUGGUAUUUCACUAGUAUUCUUUCGUAAUGAUCAUUGUAAAAAGAGGUAUUGCAACUCACCCCAUUUGACAGCACUUCCAGCGGGGAUGGCGGCAUAGAACAUGACAGAGAUCUAGCUAAUCAAAUCAUUCUAUGGGAGCAUCAUGUCUAAUUGUAAGGAACUGGUUUUUCGAGUCCAAAAUAAUGGUAUUUUGUUAGUCAUCACAAAUUUAAACAAAAAAGAUUUAGUAAUAGUUAUACGUUCAAUACAUUGAUUCAUACAAAAUACAUCGUGAUUUAUAGUGCAACUACAUGAUUCUUUGCAAAAGUAGGUUCCUGUGUAUUGGGUUUCCUAUACACCUUAUUGGUGUGAUGUCCCUACUGCUAAUAAUAAACGGUUUGGCAGGUUAAUAAAACAUUAACAUUAUCCCAUGUUUGAAGCCUGACAUUUGUCGUUCCUUCAUGUACCUGGUAUAAACAACUUGUAGUACAUGUAGAUGCACCAAUUCUUGCAAUCGGUCAUAAUCUUAAAUCCUGCUAUCCUCUUAAAGCAUCAUAUGUCGAGGUUAACCGUUCACUCACCCCUGCCAUCCACUUCGGAUGCCAUCAGCCAAAGCUAAUCAACCGUUUGUCCCUGUCAUUCAUUCAGAUUCCAUUAGCUGAAGCUAAUCAUUCAUUUGUCCUAGUCAUCCAUUUGGAUGCCAUUAGCCGAGGUUAAUCAUUCAUUUGUCCCGAUCAUCCAUUCGAAUGCCAUUAGCCAAAGCUAAUAAAUUAUUUAUCCCGGUCAUCUAUUUGGAUGCCUUAGCCAAAGCUAAUCAUUCCUUUGUACCAAUCAUCCCUUCGAAUGCCAAUAGUCGAAGCUAAUUAUUCAUUUGUCUCAUUCAUCCAUUCGGAUGUUAUUAGCCAAAGCUAAUAAACCAUUUGUCAACAUUUAAGCAUUUGACAAUCUGAUAUUUGUACUAACACAAUACAGUAACAUUCAUGAUAAAGUAUUUUAUUAUUCAACGUUCUGAAAAAAGGAAGGUGAAAGUCACCUACCUGCUCCACUAAUGGGUUGUUCUUGUCUUAAUGAUGGUUUGAUCCUGACCGCACCAUUUAAGACUACUAGGUUCACAAAUCAGUACAUUUGUAUCUUUGAAUCACAUUUGUCAUUAUACUUAUUUCAAGAGUUUAUAUAUUUACAUUCAAGAGUUCCACAUUUUACACCAUCAUACUAAGAAAUUAUUACUAGCAUUUAAGUCAUUUCUGCCCGAGAGGCCUAUUAUAGAAAUCGGCAGCGAAAAUUGGUUCGCUGCAGGCUACGUAAUUCAGCAGCAAAAACUAUUUCUUUGUUGCACCACAAUUCCGGCACCGAAUGCUACUUCGCUGCAGCUAAUACGUUUUGCGGCAAUGAAUGCUACUUCGCUACAAACAACUCUCAACUUCGACAGAGAAUCACAGAUUCGCUGCAAAGCACACAUUUCAACAAUGAAUGCUAAUUCGCUGCAGACAACUUGAUAUAGACAGCGGAUCAAAAACUCGCUGCAAAACACACAAUUCAGUUCUGGCAGCGAAUCACAAAUUUGUUGCAGAUAACUCAACUUCGACAGUGAAUCGUAAAUUCACUACAGAACACGCACUUCGACAACGAAUGCUAAUUUGAUGUAGACAACUCAAUUUUGGCAGCAAAUCACAAAUUCACUGCAGAACACACACUUCGAUAGCUAAUGCUAAUUCGCUGUAGAUGACUCAGUUCCGGCAGCGAAUCGCAAAUUCGUUGCAGACAACUCAAUUCCAGCAGCAAAUCACAAAUUCGUUGCAGACAACUCAACUUCGACAGCGAAUACUAAUUCGUUGUAGACAACUCAGUUUCGACAGUGAAUCACAAAUUCGCUAUAGACAACUCAACUUCGGCAGCGAAUCACAAAUUCACUACAGAACACACACUUUGAUAGCGAAUGCUAAUUCGCUGCAGACAGCUCAAUUUUGGCAGCGAAUUUCAAAUUCGCUGCAGACAAUACCACUUUGGCAGCGAAUCCCAUCUUCCCUGCAGGACACAUCAUUCGGCAGUGAAUGUUAAUUCACUGCAAACAACUCACUUUUGGUAGCGAAUUAUAAAUUCACUGUAGACAAUACAAUUUCUGCAGUGAAUCUCAAAUUCAUUGCAGAACACACAAUUCGACAACGAAUGUUAACUCACUGCAAUCAACUUAAUUUCGGCAAUGAAUUACAAAUUCGCUGCAACACACACGCAUGCAUUUUCAAUUUCAGCACAUAAUAUAUCAUCAAAUCCCAGCAGGGUUACAUGGUUUUAACAUGAACGCACACAUGCAUUCUCAAUUCCAGCACAUAAUAUAUCAUCAAAUCCCAGUAGUGUUACAUGGUUUUAACAUGAACAGAGACAUGCAUUUUUAAUUCCAACACGAUAUAUAUCAUUAAAUCCCAGCAAGUUUCAUGAUUUUAACAUGAACACACACAUGCAUUUUCAAUUCCAACACACAUCUGUCAUCAAAUCCCAGCAAAGUCACAUGAUUUUAACAUGAACAAAACAUGCAUCGUCUUACACAAUGCAUUUCGGCCAGUCCUAUUGUUAUGGUCGGCCCUCUACUAAGUUUUAUUCUUUCCAUUUUAUUCAUUAUCCUUAGUUAGAUGCUCUGGAAUUUGGUCUCAUUUCGUCUUUGAUGCUUGUCCUCUUAGUUGUUUUCAGUUUCCCUUACAAUUAGCCUAGGGGGUUUAGGUCCAUUUUUCUUAGGGAUCCUUCAUCAUUUUCAGUUCUGGGUUUGAAGAACAAGGGGGCAAAAGGAGACUACAUGACCCAUACCUUUCAACUCUAAGUAGGUCUAGAUAAUGUAGUAGUAUUUCUCCUCCAUCUUUCUCCUGUUUUUUCCCUUCUUCUUCCUCUCUCGGUUCUCUUUUUCUUUUUCUAUGUUUUUUAUUAGUUUCUUCCCACUCGUUCCAGCCCCCUUUCCUUCACCCUAAACAGCUGCUCAGCCUUCAUUCACGAUCUCAACUCUCUCUCACUGUUCAAGAGGUAUUCUUUACUAGUUUUGGUUUGAAUUUUUUUGGGAAGAAGGUGCAAAAGAGAGACAUGCAGCUGCAGUAGCCAGACUUUGGGAAGAGGAAGGGUCACCUUCUCUCUCUCUCUCUCUCUCUCUCUCUCUCUCCUUGCAUUUAUAAUUCACAUAAAUUGAGGUGGGGUGUUUGGGGUUGGGUUAAAGGUGUUCUUGUCCGUGUUUUGGUCUGUCUAAAACUAAAUUUACCCCUCCCUCCCAGCUCCUUUAGAUAGUCCAAUUUGUUACCCUAACUUUUAAUAACAUUGCGUCGCUGCUGAUUCAGAAAUCAGCAGCGAUGGUGGAGUCAUCAAUUAUGUGUGUGUGUGUGUGUGUUUACACUAAUAUUCUUGUAGGAGGCUUCAAUUCAUACAAGCAUGUUGUGGUGCACAAAGUUUUUUCAUGUGCUCAAUGGUAAGCAAGCCUAUAUGCUCACGCGCGCUUGAGUGCGAGGGUUUUUUAGAGCAGAUCAAACAUUGGUUAGGAAAGUGGUUUAAAUAAUGAGAGUUAGUAUUGUGAUUCGUAGAAAUAAUGGUUUACUAAUUGAGAUAAAUGGAUGCAAGUAAUAAAAAAAAAGGUUUUAGAAGAAGAGUAGACGAUGUUAAAGUCAAAACCCAAACGAAUGUAGUCUUAGGAGUUAUGUAAAUGAUGAGAGUGCGAGUCUUAAUAGGGAGAGCUUCUAUUAGUAAAAAGUCUAGAAGUUUAGCUAACUGAGAAAAAGAUUGAAUCUCUUAACAAUUAUUGCGAGGUUGGUAUUCACAGAGAAAAGAGGAUCACCUUGAUCACUAAGAUAAUGUCAUAUCAUUCAAAUUUUACCGAUUGGAUAUGAACUAGAUAAAGAAAAUGGGUUUAUUUGGCAAAAGUUAUUAAACCUAGUCCAGAUAACACCGAUUCGAUCAAGCUAAAUAGGUCACCUAGGUUACUAGCUCUAUUGUUAGGUCAAUUAUACAAUAUUAUUAAUAAAUUUUGUAACAAGUGAAGCAUCGGUAAGAAAUUGUGAAGUGGUAAGUGUAUUUUGGUUGGUCUUUUAAAAAUAACUUAAAGGUACGUGAUACAAGUUAUAUAUAUAUAUAUAUAUAUCAAGUCAAUGUUUGACCAAGUAGUCAAGUUUAUUGGUUUUGGUAUGAUUUUAUUGAUUUUGAUUUUAUUUUACCAUGCCAUCUAAGAAUUCUAAUUUUAGUAACAACUUGGAUAUCGUCAGGUUUCUAAUCAAAAGAAUCGGUCUAAUUCAAUUAAAUAAUAUUAUUUUGAGUUAAAUUAUUUCAAUUUGAAAAAAACAAUAUACAACUAGACCUUUUAUUUUAAAUUAAUUUUUAUAAUACAUUUUAAAGACAAGACAUGGAAAACAACUCCAUCACAACACUCAUGUUUAUUCUCACACAUCUCAAGUUUUGUACUAAACAAAAAUUAUCAUUAAUAAUCUAUUUGAUACACAGCCUGGAUAAAAUAUCAAAUCAAGAAAAAUUAAUAUAAAUUAGUACAUAAAAAAAUUAGUUAAAUUACCUGAUUAUCUCUGGAUACAAUUCCAUGCAUAGACGAUAAAACACACAUAGAAAGGGAAUGAAAGGUUAAUUGAGUAACUUUUCCCUUUCAUAAAAAACACAAAUUGCAAACUUCUCCCCCUUUCACAAGUUUUUAGUUUUAUAAUAACUAUAGAAUUUUUUUUUUCUUUUGAUUUUCUUUUUUUCUUUUUUCUUUUUAAGAAAGCAAUUGUAGAUAGAUUAUUAUUUUUGUUGAGCAUUCACUACCUUUGACAAGGAUGGUACACUUACAAAAUUCUUUAUUGGAAGUUAAAGCAAAUAGCAUCGAUUCUGUUAAUUUAGCAUCAAAUCUUAAAAGAGGUUGCAAGAAAAUAAUUUCUUCGCAUAAAUACAUCAGUCCAUCUGGGACAACAAAUCUUCUUCGUUCCUCACUGUCCACAGCUAUUACCAUGAAAUGACCUUCUUUAACAUCAUCAGGGACUCUUUUGUAUCAUUAUAACUAAAACAUUAACAUACUAGCCAAGGGUUAUCAAUAAUUUAUUUUAAUCAUGUUAAUAUUUCAUAUUAAAAAGUUUUUGUUAGAAAUUAAUUUUUUUAAAAAAGGUUAACCCUAAAAAUAAAUGGAUCGCAUUUUUAAUUUGAUUUCAAAUGUGUCCAUUAACCAUAUUUUAAAAUAAAAUUUCAGUAAUCCUCCAAAUAAAUGGAAAUUGUUUAACUAGUAUAAAAGACUUGAAGAUUUAUAGAAAUAUUGAUUUGAUAUAUCACUACAUGAUAUGUAGUUUUUAGCUUUGAGCUUAAUUUCCUUAGAGAAAUAUUACCAUAUUUACUCAACUAAUUAGUAAACACAGUGGUGGAGUAAAAACUUUUUAAAUGAGGGGGCACAUUACUAACAAAUACUUGAUAUUAUAUACUAUAUAGACAUGUGCUAUAUAUAGAGAAAUCAAUUUGAAAUGCAUAUACUAACUCAUGUUAAGCAAAAUUAAUUUAAGAAAAUUUUUAAAAUGAAAAAACUUACAUUAUAAUUAUUCUUUUCGAGUUUUUAUAUUUUAAAAAUGCUUCAUAAUAACUUCAUUUUUAAUUUCAUUAAUGAUAUUCUUUCUCAAUAUAUACAAUUAAACUUUCAUUCAUCUAUUUCUAAAUCUUUCAGGGACUAGUAAAAUUAUUGACAAUAAUUAUUUGUUGACUUAAUGUUUUAUACAAGUAAGUUAAAUAUAAAUAUUAAUAUAUUUUUUUAAUUUUUUUUACUUUGUCCCUAAUUUUUUUUGUUCGACACUUCGUUUUUAAUCACUAGUAAGUUGAUCACCAUCAUUUUUCAUAUGAAAUUUAUAACAAAAUACAUAUUAAUUCAUCAAAACUCAUUUCAAUUCAUAUUCAUAUGCAUAUAAUAUUAUCCAUACACGUAUUAAUUUAACAAAUUUGUAAAUUAUCAUAAACUCUAACAUUUUUAAUAACUAAAUAUUAAGGAAUAAAACUAAAAUUAGACAAUGGGAUAAAUAGAAAAAUGAAGGAAACUCACCUAAAACAUAAAGUAUAAAGCAUAAAAGGUCACCUACUUAACUAAUUAUUAGUUUAGGACUUGAAGAGAAAUUUUAUAGAAGGAAGAAAGGCAGGAACAAUAAUUCAAAAAAAAAAAGCUUGGAUCAAUUAGUAGUUAAUAAAGAAAAUUAAACUUGUUAAGUUAUUAUAUUAAAAUUCUAAUAUAAAAAAUAUUUUGAAAAAAAUAUAUUAAGGGGGCAAUUGCCCCCCUUAAUCCCAUUGUGGCUCUGCCACUAAGUAAACAUGAUGUCUUGAAUUAUUCUUCAUUUUAUGUAAAUUAAACAAAGCACUCACAUAGUUUUCUACUUAAAGAUUCAUUUGAUUCUCACAGUUGUGUUCAUUUUAGACCUAAACGACUUUUAUAGUCACGAGUGCUUUUGAAAAUUCAGCCUUUUUAAAAUUCACAAGCAAACAACCAUAUUUCUCACUCAUAUAAGUAAUAGCUCAUUAAGAAUAUUUUAUUAUACUUCACUUGGUAUAUCAAGAUAUGAAAAUCAUUAAAAGAACUACUCAUCCUUUAUAAUGCUACAACUAGCACCUUUUUUUUAUUAUAGGAAUAAACAUGAAAUAAAUUUUUUUCAAGGGCUAUUAAGAUUGUUAUAUGACCUAAUUUUUUAUUUGAAUGUAGAUUUUGAGAUCUCUAGUUAACUAGAUAUGGUUAUCAUCAUUAUACGCUUUCAUUUUUAAAGGCUUUAAUCAUGUUUUUCUUGAUGAACUAUACACAAGCUCUCUCGAUAAACUUUCGGUUAGCGAAUCCGUAAUAUUUUUCUUUAACUUUACAUAGUUAAUACAAAUAAUAUCAUUUUAGAUAAAGUAUUUAAAAAUAUUAUAUAUAAAAUAUAUAUAUCUUGACUUACCAUUAUACAUAUUACUUAUUGCUUUUAUAAUUGCAGUUUGACUUUCACAAGGAACAUAAAUUUCUAGCACUAGUUUUGCUAAUAUAAAAUAUACUCUAAUAAAUUUCAAAGCCAUUAAGCUUUUUGUCUAACUUUAUCAAAAGCUUUCAUAUCUUAUUCAAUUAUGGAUCUUAGGAUACAUAUUUGUUUUGAGGAUUUUCAUGAUACCGUUGUUCUACCGAGUGUGAAGACAAAUCCACUAGUAGAUUUUUAAUUCUUAGUGUUGGAUAUCCAAUUGACAUAAUUAUACCUUUCUAACACUUUCAGGUACCUGAUAUUAUAUAACUCAUAAGUCAAGGUGUAUUUUAAAUAAUAUUUUGGUAUAUUUUUAAUUGCUUUUUAAUUAUCCACACCUGAAUUACUAGGAAUGAGAUGGGUCGUGGAUUAGCUCGGAUAGUCUUAAUAGUGGAGAAUACUCUAGUAAACUUACUCAAUUUUCUAAUAAGUAUGCCAUAUAAGAUAUUGUAUUAUAGUUCACAAUAUCAUCAAGCUCCUAAUUAUUUGAGAAUAGUCUAAUUGGUCUAUUUUUUUUACCUUUAGUUUUUUAAUAGAUGGACAUUUAUAUUCAUUGGUGUUUUUAUAGUACAAUUUUUAUAUUUAGAAAAUUUUCCAAUAAUUUUCUCAACAUAAUAAAAUUAAGCCAACCAAAUAUCCUAAUAAUUUUUAUUUCUAAUAUGAGAUCCUUUAAUAUUAGAUUGGAUGGAAAUUAAGCUUCAUAACUCUUUUUUAUUUUCCUUCUACAGGGUAAUCUUGAUUUCAUGAUCCAGGUCACGAGUUUGAAAGGUUAACUUGAGUUGACUUGGGGUUUUUAUCCUUUUUUUAAUUGAUUUUUUUUAUUUCAUCCCUCAAUAUUUGGUUGGUUGUGGAUUGUACUUUUCAGCUUUUUUCAAUUUAAUUUCAAUGAGAUUAUAUCAGUCUCAUAACCCGAAUCGCAAAUUUAAUAGGUUAACUCAAGUUGAUUUGGAUAUUUUUAUCAUUUUUUUAAAAGAGUUUUUUAUAGUUUAAUCCUCCAAUAUUAGGUUGAUUUGGAAUUGAGCUUUUUAAUUUUUAUCCUUUUACUUUCUAUAAGGUUAUCUCGUUGUCAUGACUCGGGUCAUAGGUUUACUGAUUUACCCGGGUUGACUUAAGUCACUUUUUAUCUCUUUUUAAUUGAUUUUUUUUUAUCUUUCAAUACUGGGUUGAUUCAUAAUUGAGUUUUGUAAUUUAUCUCAAUUUGCUUUUUAUUAUAUUAUACUUAUGACCCAAAUCAUGAAAUUUACAGGUUAACCAAGGUCGUCUUAAUCAAUCCAAUAUGUCAUCAUCUUAAUACUAAAAAAAAAAUGUUGCUAAUAUAUCACCAUCUCAAUAUUUAUAUAUAAAAAAGUGUCAUCCAAUAUACAUUAUUUUCUGAGUUCAUAAUUAAAUUAUUUUUUUUACUAGACAACAUGUUAGUAAUGUCUUUAUAUUUUUUUAUGUCCAGAAAAAAAAAAUCAAUAUACAUCAUGGUGCAAGGCCAAAAAUAUAGUUAUAUUUGAAAUGGUUGCAUUCACCAAUAAUAGAUAAUACGUUCAAACCAUUGCCAAAAGAGAGAGGAAUUCAGAUGGAAAGGAGAUAAAUUUUAGUUUGUUUAUGGGUGUUUUUGAUAUAUUAUAUAUGAGGAUAGUAUAGGUUUUUUUUGUUCAAAUUUAGAAAAUAUUCUUUUAAAUAGAAACUGGGGUAGGUUCAAUGAGAGACAUCAGCACCAUUUAGAUAGUGCGUGAUGCGUCCUACAACUACCCAAUGGUAGCUUCUAGUGCGUCAUUUUUUCUUGACCCAUCUGCCAAUGCAAUUUUUUGAAGUAAUCCUGCAAUUUGUUUUUUCUUCAUAUUUGGUUCAUGUUCUUUCGAUUCAAUUUGUUUUAUUUAAAAUAACUUAUAAAAUUAGAUUUUUUUUAAUUUUAUCAUUCUUUAAUUUUUUUUCAUCUAUCAUAUUUGGUCCUAAUUCUUUUUAUUACUAUUUUUUGGGUUUUAACCUUGUAUUGAUUUAUUUUAUUUUUUAAUUUUGUCCCUCAUUAUUUUUCAAUUUCAUCCCUAAUUAAUUUAUUUCAUUUAAUUUUUAUUCUAGGUAUGAUGGUCAUAUUGUUUUGAUUUCUUUUGGUUUUGUUUUUUAAUUUUGAAUAACUGAGAAUUUUGCUUCAAGAUUUUUUUAGAUUUGCUUUCUAUAAGGUAACUCAGUCUCAUGAAUAGAGUUACGGAUUUGAAGAUUAGUCCAAUUUGACUUUAGUCUUUUUAUAGGUCUUUUAAAUUGAUGUUUUUCAAUUUCAUCAUUUAAAUGAAAUUAUCUCGUUCUUGUAUCUUGGAUUAUAUUAGUCAAGUUAACCAUGGUUGACUCGGGUAUUUUUUUGUGUUUUUUAAUUGAUUUUUCUCUAAGCCUUACAUUAUUUUAGUUCGCUUAAGAGUUGACCUUCAUUGUUUUAUUCAAAAAAAUUUGUAUGGGAUUAUCUUGACCUUACAACUAGGUCGUGAAUUUGACAUGUUGACUCGAGUUAAGUUUUUUUGUUCUUUUUUCAAAUUAAUGUUUUUUCAAAUCAUCCUUUACCAUUUGAUUUGCAGGUGAUUAAGCUUUUGAUUUUUUUUCUCUUAUAAGGUCAUCUCAUUAUCAUUUAUUUUUUACUUUGUUAUUAAAUGACAUCUUUGAGACCUCUUAAGAAUAUUUUGAGGGUAUCUUUUUUAUAAUUUUGGCAAGUAUUUAAUUUUUUUUAUUAGUCUUUUUUGUUUUGCUUUAUAUAUAACCAUGUUAUUAAAUUAAAUGAGUUUAUUGAACACAUUUGAAUCAAUGACUUGGGUCCUAAGUUUUUCUUUCUCCUUUAAAAAUAUUUUCAUCGUUUGAGCAUCCUUUUUAUGUGUUGGGAAAAAUUUGGUCCAGCUUGAGACAUAGCAUAAGCCACCAAUCUAGUUAUUGAAAACUCUAAAAGGUAUGUCAUUGUAAAGAAACAAUAUUCACACACUCACAUGUUACUGUGGGCUCAUUGUUCAUUUUUUAUUAAUUCAUUUUGAUUCUCAAAGUUUUAUUUAGGAAAAUUUGAUCAUAAUUGAAAGUCAAUUGCUUUUGAUUUCUUAAGUACACGUGGAAUCAAAAGAAAAGGAUCAAAAUGAAAAGGAUGCUAAAAAUAAGUGGUGUUCUAGAUUUUUGGUGAAAAAUACAGUUAGAUCCUCUAUCUUUAAAAAUAAUACAAUUUAGAUCCCUUUAAGUUUCAAAAAAUAAAUUUUGGUAUAAAAUUUUAUUUUUUAGUUCCUAGUUUGAGAGAGGAGAGAAAGAGAUUGUCAGAUUUCAUUAGUAGAGAGAAAAUCAAUAUGACAUCAAUUUUGACAAUAAAAAUGUUCAACCUUUAUAUCAACGGGUUCCAUUUGGUAAAAAGUUCUACUUCGUUGUUUUUCAUCUUGAAAUUGUCUGAAACCAUAUCUAAGCUCGAGAAGAUUUUUAGUUUUUGGUUGAUAUUAAGUUUUUGUGUGUGUGCAUGCGUGUGUGUGUGUGUGUGUUUUUUUUUUUUUUUUGUCAUUUAUGGUUUCUUCAAGAUGCUUACUCAUUUCUAAGUGUUAGGGGUGUUCACGGUCCGGUUCGGUUCGGUUUUAACAUAAAAAUUCAACCGAACCGGAAAAUAUCAUUUCUUGUUAAUAUAACCCGAACCGAACCGAAAACCGGUUCAAACCGAACCGAUUUUGUUCGGUUCGGGUCGGUUUUUUAGCCUUAAAAACUAGAAAAACCGAAACUAAUAAAAUAAAAUAAAACUUUUGGGGAAAAGGGAAGGGAAAGGGUGAGUGGGUUGGAAAAGUUUUGGGGAAAAGGGAAGGGGGAGGGUGAGUGGGGUGCAAAGGUUUUGGGGAAAAGGGAAGGGGGAUGGUGAUGGUGAGUGGGGUGCAAAGAUUUUGGAGAAAAGGGAAGGGGGAUGGUGAGUGGGGGCCGGCGGGUAUUGGAGUGGGGGCCGGGUGCAAAGGUUUUAUAUUUUGUUUUAGAUUCAAUUAAACCGGUUCGGUUUAGUCCGGUUCAAUCGGUUUAACCUUUUUAAAACCGGAACCGAACCGAACCGGGUGGUUUUUUUAAAAUUUUUAAUCGGUUUAUUCGGUUUUUUUAUCGGUUCGGUUUUUUCGGUUAAUUUUUUCUCGGUUUUCUCGGUUUAAUCGGUUGAUCGGUUUUUUUGAACACCCCUACUAAGUGUUAUAGAUGAAAAAUAGAUUGAAAAUGAGUUUUUAAGUUAAAAAACAUAAACUUUAUUUUUCAAACAUCAUAAUUCCCAUAAUCUAGGAAAGACCACAUGACGUAUCAUCUAAAAUUUUAUUUUUUAAAAACAAAAUAAUGGAGCUAAAAAAAUGUCAUCCGAGCAAAUUUUAUUUUUUUAAAAAAGAGCAUGUCUGCAUGCAUGUGCCUUUUUUUAGAGAUUUUUAAAAUGAUUUUUUAAUUAUAUUUAAAUUAAUACACUAUCAUAUUUUUUAUUUUUGUAUUUAACCUUUUUUAAAUCGUUAUUUUUUAUUAUUUUAUAUAUAUUUAAUUUUUUUAAAAUGAUUAAGCUAUAAUUGUUUUUUUAUAUUUUAUACAAGUGAGAUUUAUUUAGAGAAAAUAUAUUUAUUUUUGAAUAGUAUUUUCAACAAGUGCAAGUUACAAGAAUUGAUUCAGCUAUAAUUGUUUUUUUAUGUUUUAUAUGGGAGAUUUAUUUAGAGAAAAUAUAUUUUUAUUAUAAUUUAAUUAAAUAAAAAAUUAAUUUUAAUAAACUAUAUCAUUAACAAUCAAUUUUCAUUCAUGGUUAAAUGAUUUUUUUAUUGAAAAAAAUACUGAACCGGGGAGUAAAAUCCAAAUUAGGACAUAGCCGACCCAAAAGCAUACACUCCCCGACGUUGAAAAUGAAAACCGUUAAAACCUGACCAAAGCCCAGGCCACUACACCAUGGAAGACAAGUUUCCUUCGAAGUCUCCACUUAGAAAACCCAACAUGCGCUCCUCCUUGAGACUCGUGAGGUGAAUUAAGGGCGACUCCAUUUGACAUCAAAUGAAGUAAUUAUCAUCCAGCCCCCUCCCUCCUUUAUAGCGCAUGAAUCCCAGCUUAUAAAAUCAAGUGGAACAUUUUAUUACCAUCAUGCAGAUGCAAAUCCAGUGGGCGACACCAAGACUUCAAAAGAGGAAUAUAAAAGUAGCAUAGGAAAGAAAGUAGCAUAACAUGUUUUCAGAGGUACACACAUGUAACAAGAGGAGGAUCACAUCAGCAUGGCCUCUGAACUAAAUAAAUAUUGUCACAUACCACCACCUUGGUAAAGGACCAAGUCUAGUAGUAGAACGCCAAUCGUAAUUAUGGAAAACAAAAAUAAUACUCCAUAGUAACCGAGCAAAGGAUACGAUGAACAUUUGGCUCGAAACAAUCAACAAGCCUCCUUUGUCACCCAUCCCCUCCUCUCUACAAGCUGCUUUCUUCAUCCUGGGGAAACCAAAAUCACCCACUCGGCCUUGUGAUACUCAGCCAUUAUCCGAAUCGGUCCCUGUGAUCCAACUCAACUCAAUCAGACAACCCUGCCUUCUUCUUGAGGUGCGCCUUGAAUUCCAUAAUGUCGCCCUCCCAGCGGGUAACAGCUUGAUUCUCACAUACCCAUAUCUCCUGCGCUACCUGGUUUAUGAGCCUGAAAUCAUGGCUAACGAGAACCAGACCCCCAUCCCACUCUUUCAAUGCCUCCGCCAGGGAGUCGAUGGUCUCAAUAUCCAAAUGGUUGGUUGGCUCAUCCAGAAGGAGCAUUUGGGGUUGCCUAAAUGCCAGCCAAGCAAAUAUCACCCUGCUCCUCUGCCCAUCUGACAAAUUACUCAUGGGCAUCACCUGGGCCUUGCCUGUCAACCCAAACUUCCCAAUUGCUGCCCUCAUUUUUUCUUCCUCGUUCCCUGGAUACUCUCUAAUCAUAAAAAGGAGAGCAGACAAUUCUAAGUCUAGUUUCUCAGUCAAGUGUUGAUGAAAUUGCGCAAUCCUCAAGUGAUUGUGCCGGCGAACCAUGCCAUCUAAAGGAACCAAGUCACCCGUCAUAAGCUUCAGCAAGGUACUCUUUCCAGCUCCGUUGGGGCCAACCAGUGCAACCCUAGAAUCCAGAUCCACACCAAAGUCAAGAUUCUUAUAAAUGAGGUUAUCAGGUGUGUAGCCAAAGGUUACUUCAACAAACUGAAGCACGGGUGGCGGGAGCUUCCCCACAUCAACAAAGCGAAAGACCAGAACCUGGUCUCUCGCAACCCUUUCUGUAAGUCCACCACGUUGCAUCUUAGCAAGAGUUUUCUCCUUGCUCUGCGCCUGACGAGCUAACUUUGCUGACCCAUGCCCAAAUCGGGCAAUAUACUCCUUCAUGCCAGAAAUCUGAUCCUGCUCCCAUUUGUACUGUUUCAUCUGGUUUUCUUCCAGUUCAGAACGAGUCUGAACAUACUGAUCAUAGUUACCAGUGUAGAUUUUCAAUUUCCUGCUUUGCAUGUGGAUAAUGUUUGUGCACACACCAUUCAAGAAAUCCUGGGAGUGAGAAACCACAACUAGAAUGCGUUCAAAGUUCUUUAAAGUUUCCUCCAACCAGACACAGGCUUCGAGGUCUGUCACAACAUAAAAGAAUUGAUCAUUAACGAAAAACUUUUCCAGAUUUCACAAACCCCUUAAACUCCUCCAUUCUUCUCCCAAUAUAUGAGAACUGAACUUUAAAGAGUCAAAAACACUUAUGAGCCAACAAACAACAAAAAAGGCAUGAAAAGAAAUUAACAGCAUAAAAUUGUUAGAUGGUCAUAACUUUCAACAUUUCACCCAACACAAUAAGAACUCAGUUCAGUAUACUGUCUGCCACACAAGCUGAAAAACAAAGCCCCCAUGCUAACAACAUCAACCGGAGAAUUCCAAAAAGUUUUGCAUUAUCUGAAAACAAAUGAAUUUCCUUGCUUUUAGUCAUGGCAAAUAAAUCACGUGAGUUUGGCCCAAGUCCUCCAUGUUUUCACUGAAACAAAUGUCACAGGCUUGGAACUAAUUGUCUGUUUUGAAAAAUUCAAAGUGAAGAGUUGAAUUCAAAUCUGCUGUAGAAAUGAGUUAGAAGUGCAGAUGUUGAUAGAAGUAAAUAGUUGUCCAAUAGUUUGGUGUUCAAAUUUCUUUUUUCCCCUUUACUGUUGACCACAAAUGGGAUUAAAAAUACUUGCAAAACAGAACCCCUUUUUAUGAAUAUAUUUCUGCUGCAUGGUGUGUGACCAUCCAACAGUAAUUCACAUGAAAUCAGACCCUUCAAGGUUGAAUUUCAAUUGGGUGGAAAUCAACGUGUAGAACUGAAUUUCUUAGAAAAUCCACACUUCCAAACAUAAAAAUUUGAUUUCAUAUGGAAUUGUAAGUUAGGAUGUACAGAGAAGAGUUGGAAACUGGUAAAAAAAAGGCAAACAAUCUAUGAUUGAGAAUAUGCCAGUCAUUAUAUGCCUUAAGUUCUUGUAUAGAUCCCAACUCAACUAAUAAAUCCAAUAGAAUUGAAUUGAAAUCAUUACCGUAACCAAUAUUCUAAACAGGCUGUAACAGGUCGUGAUUUCAAGUUAUAUGUGGACCUGUCACUGAUUUUUUUGUAGAUUUUUGAAUGAGGAAAAUCAAAGAGCUUAUAAGGAUGUGCAUGCAAAAUUCACACUUCUUAGGAGAGUUCAGACAGAAAACUUAAGAAUCUUCCCAGAACAACUUGCAUUAUGGAGCUUUUUUUCUUUUUAAUAUUUGAUAGUUUUUUUACUUCUCAUGAUAUAGUGUCAUGGAUAAAGGAUUCACAUCUCAUGCUCAAUAGGACAGGACAUGGCAUUGUUUUCUUAUCUUGAGUUUUGCUUUUUUUUCCAUCAAGUAGGGUGUUGUGGUCUCCUAAAUGUACUUGCAAAAAUUCAAGGCAAGAACAGAUUUUUAAUCCAAAAAAUCCUAGUCCAGUUUAAUACGCAGAAGAAAAAUAUUGGCAUGUACUUACAAACUCACAAAUCCCUAGAGAGUUUUUCUUUUCUCCAAAAAUGGAAAAGUAGCCAAAAUACCACGAGAGAGUUGGAAAAUGCAAUGAGCAAACAUCAGUGCUAGGGGAGCUUACCAAGAUGAUUGGUUGGCUCAUCAAGUAAGAGGACAGUUGGGUUCAUGAACAAAGCCCGAGCUAAUGCAAUCCUCAUUCUCCAACCACCUGAAAAAUCUCGAGUUUUCUUUGUUUGCAUUUGCUUGUUAAAUCCAAGACCAAACAAAAUUUCAGCAGCACGUUUCUCUGCAGUUGCCACAUCCAUGGCCUCCAAACGCUCAUAAAUACGAUCAAGAGCUUCUCCACCUCCAUCAUCCUAUAUCCAAGCCAAAAUAAAUGAUCAAUCACACACGGAAGUCACAAUAACAUACAUCAUUCACAAGUUCUUAAAUACACCGAAAGUAUUUUUAGUCACAAGGAAAUACCUGUGCUGCCAAGGCCUCUGCUUCUUUCUCCAACUCCAACCUCUCCUCAUCACAGCUUAUCACAGCCUCAAGUGAAGACAUGUCAGAAGCUUCGAUCUCCCUGGUGAGGUGAUAAAUGUCCAUGUGCUCUGGAAUUGGAAGUUCUCGACACCCUAUUGCAGCUAGGAGUGUUGAUUUCCCACAUCCAUUUAAACCAAGUAAUCCAUAUCGUCUGAAGUACAAAAUGAUGUACGGAUGGGGGAAAAAAUAGAAUGAAUUUCUUUUUCAAUAUGAAGUUCUAUGACACAUGCGCCAAUUGAGUAAGAAUAUCCAAACCUGCCAUAGUUUAGCUCCAGCUCAGAAUCAACAAUGAGAUCAUGUCCAUGAAAAGUAACUGACAAUGAUUCAAUCUGCAAUGAAGAUCUAAGUUAUUUGCAAAUAACAUUACCUUUUGAACCAAGAUUUGAACUCCAUACAAAUAAGCAAUAAAAAAACCCUUAUCACUUGAUAUUACCUCCUCCAAGGAAUCCCAGAAGGAUGGACUAUUGCUUAUAUUCAUUCAGAAAAGAAAAUUUUUAGUCUAAACAUUUCAUGUUCACGGUUGCCAGAAUGCACUGAUGACAGACACAGCUGCUCGCAUAGGCACUUGUCUAGGUACACCAAGCUAGCAACAAUAAGCUAGUGGUGAGAUUAAUUUAUAAUUCUGGUGUGAUGUGUGCAAGACUAGCAAUCAUAUAACAUAAUAUAUCCUUUGGAAUAUAUCAAUUGAAGAAACUACACGCUACUAUAUCUAUAAUAAUAUCCCAGGGCAUUUGAUUUAAUAUCUAUAUGAUCAGAAUCAUACUCAGAAAUACAGAAAAAAAAAUCAAAAUAAUUAUCUUUAGAUAUUGAAAGCAAGAUAUGGCAAUUGGAGACACUCUUACAGUUAACCAAUUAAUCCUUACAAUAAUCUCUUGCAGCUUAGAAUUAGAGAACCAUCUAAAAAAACCAUGAGAAAAAAAAUUGGUGCGAUCAAAUUACUUAAGGAGCCUAAUCAAAAAAUUAAGUAAAAACCUGCGUUAUAAUCAACAUCUAACAAGACUUAGAAAAAAAAAAGGUCAAUAAAACAUAAAAAUAAAUCAACCAACAAAUCAAUAUAUAUAUAUAUAUAGAUUAAACUGUAGUAUUUAAAAAAGAAAAAUCAACAAACAUACGCGGAUAUCUCUGGAAAGAGGAUGCGAGCAUAGGACGCCCGUACAAGUCCGAUCGGAAAUCUGAAGAGCUCCAACUCCAUUCGACAACUUAUCAACACCUCCAUUCUGCGAAUCGGCAGCCGCCGCUGCUUUUGAGGAGGUUGCAGCUGCUUUUCCACCUCUCUUGGCAGCGGCCGCCGCCUUCUUUUGAGCAGCCUUCUUCUUGCUGGCGUCGGAAACCAUGGUUAUAUCAAGUAAUUACUAAUUAGAGAGAGAGGGAUCUAGGGUUUGGUUUCGAACGGAUGUUUCGGUGGUGUAAUAGAAAACCCGUUUAUGAGGGUUAUGGGUGAGAGAGGGUUUGUGGAGAGUCGAUGAUCUAAAUAUUUAUAGACCAUUGGUAGACACGUGUACGGUUGUUUACCAUUCUUUUUAAAGGCAGAUUAGACGAAGUUAGCGCUUGUUGUCAUGUUCAGGUUUUCUUCAGUUCCGUGCCUAAAUUCAACUCGUGACUGUUUGGUAUGUGAACGAGUUAAAUUUGAAUUUGUUUUAGCUUUUUUCGUCAUAAAACAAUUGUACGACAAUUUAUAUUAGGUUUUGUUAUCGAAACGUUAUGGUGAUAGCUCAAUCCUUCUCGAAAAAUACUUAUAUUGUUGGUGUGUGGUUCAGAUUAAUAUUUUUAAUAUAAAAAAUAUUUAAAUAUUAUUAAUAUAUUUUUUAAUAAAAAAUAUUUAAUUAUGAUAUAAUGGAGUGCAUAUUUCUAAAAAAUAUUAAUACGGCAAUAUAUUGAAAAAUAUUUUUUAAAAAUAUUGAGAUUAGGACAUAUUAGACCGAUUCAAGUUAAAAAGUUAAUCAAAAUAAAUUAUGAAGAUCAAUUCCUAAUCAAUUCAAUAUUAAAUAAUGAAAUUGAAAAAUAAAUUAAAAAAACUAUAUCUGCCAGCCUAAGUUAACUUAUCAAAAACUAUAACUCGGGUCAUAAAAUCAGAAUAACUUCAUGGAAAAUAAAUAAAUAAAAAUACAAACCCAAUUAAAAGUAUAUUCAAUAAAAAAAAUAACCAAAAAAAUAAAUAGAGUCAAUUUGUCGAACUUGCAAUAUAGGUCAUGAAAUCAAAUAACUCCAAAAAAAACAAAUAAAAAAAAUAUAAAUUUUAAUUUUCCAACCAAUCCAAUGUUGAAAGAUGAAAACGAAAAAGAAAAUCAAUUAGAAAAAAUAGACUAAAAAGACAAUUCAAGUCAAUUCGUAUUAAUUAGUUAAACCUAGAACAUGUAUCUUGAGAUCAAGAUCAAUUAAUAUAAAGAUCCCUAUAAGUAAAACAUUUGAUGCAUACUAGAUGAAACACUUUUAAAAUACUUAAAUGAUGACAUGUUUUUUUUUUUUAAAAAAAAAAAACUUAAGACGGUGACUUAUUGGAUCAAUUCAAGUCAACUAUGGUUAACCUCAAAACCUGUAAUUUGGGGCAUGAGAUGGGUAAUAACCCUAUAAAAUCCUUAUCGAAACAAAUUAUGAAGUAUAGUUCUAAUAAACCAAAUAUUAAAGGUUAAAAAUGAUAAAAAAAUAAAACAUAACAAAAGUGACUCUAAUAAACCUAUAUUGAUGGUAAACGCUAUGCCGCAGGGCGGACCAAAUUUUUCCGAACACAAAAAGGAAAAACAUUAAGGUGACAAUAGAGUUUCUGAAGAAGUAAAAUAAAAUAGAGACUUCAUUCAUUGAGUGAGUUGAGUUUAAUAAGCACGGUUAGUUUAAUAAUAUUAAAAAAUAAAAAGCAAUCCUAAUUUAAUAGUAUGAAAAAUGAAGUAAACCCGGGUAAAUCUUUUAAAUCUGGGUUAACCAUCUAAAUUCGUGACUUGUAAAAUCCUAGACCCGAGCUCAAUUAAAAAGCCCGAUUCCCAACUAAAUUAAUGUUGAAUGAUGAAAUUAAAAAAGCAAUCGAUUAAAAAAAAUCCAAAGAAAAAAUAACAAUAAAAAAAAUAAAAAUCAAAUAUGAUAGGAAAAAAUAAUUAAGAAGGAUGAAUUAUAAAACAAAACCAAUUUUAAAAACCACCUAAAUUUAAAAAAUAACAAUGAAAAAAUGUGGGCUAAAUUUGAGAUAUGAAAAAAAUUAAAGGGGGAUGAAAUUGAAAAUAAUUUUUAAAUUGAAAUAACUUAUUCAAAUAAAAAAAAUUACAACAAAAAAAUAAGAACUAAAUCUAAAAAAAAACAAAUUAAAGAGUUACUUGAAGACAAUAAAAAAAAUCCUACUAGUACCAAAUUGGUGAGGAUUACCAUACAUAUGUUAUUUAAAGAGAUAAGCACCACCGAGACAAAUAAAAAUAACACUAAGAAAGGUUGCUUUUGGCUACUAGAAAUCACUAUAUACGUUAUCUAAAAAUGACAGGGUGGCUCACACACUAGAAUAUGUGUUGUACACACCAAAAUCUUAACAUUUUUAUUGCAUUGGACAAAGAAAAUAUAAUUUGAAAUAUAAUACUUUUUCACAAGAUUUGAAUUUACAAGAUUUGAAAAAUCUACAAAAUGAGAGACCUCCCUGAAAAUGUAUUCUUGACUUCAUAAGGGACUUUAUAAGUAGGUGUUCAUUUGUUUUGAUCCCGCUUGAGAACUAGUAAAAUCUUCUUAAACACCAAAUCUCUUCCAUGAAAUUCUCAAGUUCAUACUUUCUUAUAAAAAGUUGUAGCCAUUCUUCUUUGAUAUGUUGUCCAUGAAAAAUUGUAGCCAACUUUAUUUCACUAAUAAAAUCCAGUUGUUCACACCGGAUUUUAGCCUAUUCUGACUUUUCUAUCUUUAUUUUAUUUAGUACUUUUAGGAAAGGUAUCUUAAUUUCAAGAGACAUCAUUGUAUCUAGGUAUUUGUCCUCACAUUAUGCAAUCUUUUUAUAGGUGUCCAGAAGUAUUUACUGCUCUGUAUUUGUCCUAACAUCAUGUUCAUAGCACAAACACCUUCAUGAAUGUCCUCCAUUGCCUUUAGAGCUUUUUUUUAUCCAAAUAUCUCAACGGAGUCCCAUCAAAUCCUCUUUUGUACAAGAUUUCCCCUUCUAAGUAGCAGUGCAUGGUCAUUAUUCGAAAAUAUUCUCGGUUUGUUUUAUCAGCUCUUGACGUGUAGUCUCGGCUUCUGAUAAACUGUUGGAUAUUAUGAUACCAGGGCUUCAUAUCCUCUUCCAUUUCAUUCAAGCAACAACAAUAUGAAGGGGAAAUCUUUAUCUCAAUAUUCACAGGUUGGAUCUUCACCUCACCCCCAAUUUGAGUCAUCAAAGCUAGUGUACCCAGUGCAUCUGCAAACUGAUUUUUGUUUCUACUCAAAUGAGCAAAUCCUGUCUCUUCAAAUUGAGCUGCCAGCUUAAUGAGGUGUUCUUGGUAAGGCUUUAGCUUCAUCUUUUUUGUUUUGGCUUUUCGACUUUCCUCUCCAAAACAGCCUCUAGCCCAUGAAUACAUGCUUUCUAUUAUACUAUGUUGAUGGUACAUUCAAACUUUAAUUCGAUUGCUAUUGGAUACUGUUUAGUAAUGGGUGAAAUGAGUAUUGCAACUAUUCCAUUAUCAGAAACAUUGGCAGCCCCCAUCAAAUAAAAUCAACGAUUGAUUUUAGCCUUUCCUUUUCUGUUUGAUAAUAAACAACUAUUAUUCUUACUUCACGUGAAUGUUUGUUCGUUUGUUUUUAUGUAAACACUAAGCCAUGCUUGUUGGUUAUAAUUACCAAAUAUUGACUGCUUACUCGCGGCUCUGCAUUGUUUUGUUAUCUUUGUGGGCAUUGAUGAGUCAAAUAAAAUUACCCUUAAUCCUUCAAAAAUUGUUGUUUUCCUUGAAACAGAGAUGGUUGCAUUUUGAUUUAUGUUGUCCUUUGGUUUCUUAAAUCUAAAAGUUGCUGCUCUGUUGCGAAACACCUUGGGCCAAAAGCAAGCACUCCAAUGAUGAUGCACCUAUUUUGUUCGAUGGAAGGAAACUCGUUUUGUUGGUCCAUGUUCGAUUCUAACUUGUUUGCAUGUACCAGAUGUUAUUCUCUUCUCCAAGCUGAUGCUCUUAUUGAGUGAGAGUGCAUGUCCGUUGUUACAAUUUCAAGUAGUGGAUAUCCACUGGAACUCAUAAUGUUGAAUGGUGAUGACCACCGUAUCGCUGAAGGAGAUGGAAACUUUCUUGCUUCAAACUAGAAAUAUAGCAUAAGAAACCUGAUCUUGAACUCUCUUGCAACUGUAGGUUCAGUUUAUAUUUCUCAAAGGGCAUUAAUAACUGGUGAAAUGAUCUAUGUUUAUUCUGACAUGAGUUCACUUGAAUGCUCUUUGAGUUUGUCGCUCUCUAAAAUAUAGCAACAAAUUAAAUUCUUGUUUGUUUUCAAAAUUGAAAGUACUAGAAAAUAGGCACUCCACCAAAUGAAAAUGGACAUGCCAAAUAAUUUCUUAAGAAUGUUUUUUCCAUUCAUCUUUUUCUCUUUUAAUCAUGUUCGUCAAUAAUUAAACCCUAAAUUCAUAAACAAGAAUGGAAACCUUCCUUGGAAAGGUUGUUGAAGGAUGACCUUAAGUUUUCCCUUUAUGUAUCCAACCUCUGAAUCUCUGUUUUUACCAGUCUCGCUGAGGUUUUACUUUGUUUUUCUCCUAAAACAAGUCCUCCGAUGCUUCACAAUGCUCCUCUCAGUUUCCCAUAUCCCUUGAGAAACUAAUCUGAUAUCUAAUGUAUCAGGAUCCAUGAUAGUCCCAGGCUCUCAAAGGUCUAUAUCUAUCUAUGGCCAUUAAAGUCUGGCAACUUGCUUAUCACUUUGUUCCCUCAUUUUGAUAACCUGGAGAAAUAGAAACAAUUGGGAAAUACACUUUAGCUGAUUCUUGUGUCCUGCUAUUUUUCUAGUGACGCUGUUUGUUGCUCCUGUCCCUGCAUGAUGAUUUCUCAUUGUUGCAUCUGAUAAGGAAUUCUGAGUUUCACUACACUAUAUUAUCACAACAAAAGUCUGGACGUGCGAGGUUGGACAACCUGUCAAAUUAUCUGAAAAAUCUUGAGUUUCAAGCUUCAAACCUGUCAAGUUUUUCCAGUUCUUAAGCGUGUGUUUGUUUGUGGAUUUCUCUGUUUUUUAGUGUGUUUGGAUUUCUUAAAAAUGUUUGUUACCUUUUCAUUAGGAGGCCAAGAAUAGUUUUUUCCAUGGUUAACUGCUAUUUGUUGAUGUCUUUUAAAUUUCUGCAAAUUGGUGGGGUUGAAGAAAUACCUAUAUAGAGGCGGCAUUGAAUUGCACAAGUUAAAAACGUUGUUCGCCAAUCUUGUUCCAAGCUAAGUUUGAGAUUUAAGAAAUAAGAAUGCUGGUGGUGGGCGUAGCUUGUCUAGGCUAUGCUUAGCUUCUUUGGUGUAUGGAUUGUUUGUUUCAUCGACUUUAUCUCAGGUGAUAUUAAUGUUCCAAAACUGAUUAUAUUCUUUUGCUGUUAAUCGAAAUGUCAGGAUAGAUAGAGAAGGGCGAUCUUGAAGAGACACGUCCUUUUCUUUGUUUAUAUCAUUGAAGUACAUAACAGCAGAUGUUGUGGACAGAAACAAUGGGAGAAUUGUGGCAACAGCAGCAAGAGCUGAACAUUCCAUCAAGAACACCCUUGAGUGUGCUCGAUCUUGCAAUGCAAAAGCAGCAACAGUUGUGGGAGAGGUGCUAGCUAUGAGAAACAAGGUGGAGGAGGGUCUAGAGUAGGUACAAGGAAGAAAGAUUCAUGUCGAUAUGUACAAAGAGUUCGAGAAAAAAAGGCUUCAAGAACCGCACCAGGAUUUGGGCUCUUGUUAAUACCCUUAAAAACAAUGGAGUUAAAAUAAUUCUUGAUGAGGAUAAUUAUAACACAUCUCGACAGAAUUUCUCACGAAUCUUUUCCUGUGUUUUUGCUUUAUAUUGCGUGUAGAAGAUACAGUUUACAUGCAUUUUACAAGGGAAAGAAUAGGGAUGGGUCUUGAUGCACAUGGCAUGAUGCUUAUUACUUCAAUUUAAAAACUUUUAUCUUUAGCCACGUAUUCCGAUUGCAAACAUCAAUGUUCUGGAAAUGAGGCUACUUGAAAGAAUGGAGGGAUCUUGUACAACAACAAAAAUUUCAAGGAUUUUCUUCAAAUGUUUUAAUGACCUAACCCACCUGACUGGUCCAAGCCUAGAACAUGAGUUAGACGAGUCAAUUCAUAGACCGGUGAAUUAACUUUAAUAAAAAAAAUUUAAAUAGUAUUGUUUUGAAUUAAAAAAUAAAAACAAUAUAAUUUGAUUUUUUUGAGCUUUUGCUCGGGUCAACUAUAUAAAUAAUUUUAAAUAUAAUUUAUUUUAAUUUAAAUUUUAUAUUAAUAGGUCAGUAAAUCAACUCAUCAAACUAUCCUAGAUUUGAAAAAAACAUGGCUUUCAACUCAAAUUUAGAUUUUAAAAAAAUAAAAAUAUUUUUGAUAUUAGUUAAAAUAAUCUAAAAAUAUAAAAAAAAUUAAAAUUUGAGAGAAGAUGCCCAAAACACCCUUGAUCGGUUGUAUUUAUUUGGCAGCACUAAAAAGUACGAGGAUAGAAUAAUGUCAGAAGGGUCCAUUUUUGGUGCUGGUGGGUGGGGAUAUGCAUGUUUUGAGCACUUGUUGUAAGGUAAGAUUUUCUUUUUUCAAUCAAAAUAUAUAAAAAAGCUAUUAUUAUUCUAUUAAAAAUAAAUAUUUUAAAAUAAAUUCAUAUCAUAUAUAUAUAUAUAUAAACACGUUCUCUAUCUAAACUACUUUUAUCUCUUUAAAGACAAUAUCUAAACAUAGUAUAAAAAAUAUCCAAGGUUUGUUGGUGCCUAAACACAACGCACCUCCUUGUCAAUUACAGCUAAAAAUUAACUAAUUGGUUUUUGUACAGACUGAGUUCUAUUAGGGUGGUAGAGAGACCAGAUAUGACUUGUAUCAUUUCUAGUUUUUUUCGGAUCAUUAGAUAAUCUGGAUUAAUUUUAAUUUUUUUAUAUAAAUUAAAUGAUAUUAUUUUAGUUAAAAAAAUAAAUAAUUAAUGAAUUAUAAUUAAAUUUUUAACUGGUCAAUUUAAGAUUUUAACUUUUUUUAUUUUUUUAAAUCUAGUUUUUUCCUAGUUCCUUAUUAAUCAGAUACCAAAUUAAUUCAUCGUGUGCUGAGUUUUAAAAAAGUGACGGCAUAAAGCAUUUUUUUAGUUUUUAGUGUCGAAAUCUUCAAAUUUUCAAUCUCUUCUCGCAUAAUACCCACAUUUUAAAAGCUCUCAACAUUCAACAUUCAACAUUCAACAAUUUUCAAUGUAUGUUAUAGAUCAAGCCUUCCAAUCACUACUCAUAAUGCCCAACUUUGACUUAGUGUGCCUUUAUUAGUACUAGAAAAUUGCUUCAUAGAGGGACCAAGUUAUUGAACUCAUUGAACAUCCCACUCUCGAAGUGGAUGUCGGCAAAGACCACCAUUCAUCUUCUUUUUUGUCUUUUUUUUCUUUUCUUUUUUUUUAAAAAAAAACUCAUUUUGAGACCUGUGUUUGUAUUAAAUUGACAAAUUAAAUCUUGUAUAAAUAAUUUUGCGAAUUUGACCUUAUAGUGGUUAUCUUUAGACAAUUCUAUCCCAUUAAUCUCAAUUGUUUACAUAAAUUCAUUUACUGUGUUAAAGCUUGUUGAGGUGGAAAGUAUUAACCAUAUAAUAAAAUUACGCGACUCUCCCAAUUGGAUUUGUUUAUUUUAUUUUCUUAAAAUUAGAACCUAUCAUCUUUAUUAAAAUUGUCACAUGAGUAAUAUUUCUCAACUCAACGAGCAUCAUAUCCCUCAUGCAAAGAAUGUAAGAUUAAAUUUGUAAAAUUACUCACAAAAUUUAAUUUGUGGGUUUUAAAUAAACAUUAGGGAUUAGGGUUUUUUUUUUUAAUACAUACUUUAAACAGACACACAAUAAGAGAAGAUAUUUACAAUAGAGCUUGUCAAAUAACCAUCUCAACUCAAAAAUUUAAGAUAUUAGGUGAAGUUUCAAUAUAUAAUUUAUAUUAUUCUUUAAUAUACCCUCUCAAGUGAAAAUUAUUUGGGCUUAAAACUUGUAUAAGUUUAUUUUAUCUUGUGCUUAAUUUUUAUCAAAUAAAUGAGAAUGGUAAGAUUUAAACUCGUGAUCAUUUGGUUAUCAAGACUCUGAUACCAUAUUAAAGAACUAAUUCAACUAAAAAGCUUAAGUUAUUAGGUAAGAUCCCAAGAUAUGAUUUAUAUUAUUCUCUAACAGAAUUAAAAUGAAAUUAAGUAGGAAAUAUAUUUAGUAAAGAUGUUUUUCAAAAGUAUUUUUUAAUUAAAUAUAUUAAAAUAAUUUAUCUCAUAAAAAAUUAGCACGUCAAAACCAUAAUAAAUAUAUGAAAAAAAUAUAAAUUUGAUUUUUUAAAUGAAAAAUAAUUUGAGAAAUAUUUAUUAAAAAAAAAAAGAGGCAGAAACCAUUUUUCAUUGUCAUGUAUUAUGUAUACCUAUCAAUUAUUGUCAAUCAAACUUGUACAGGGGGGGUUGCCAUUCAUGAUUAUGAAUAAUGUAUUUGAAAGUGUAGUGUGGUUUUUUUCCGUGAAACCCACAUAAAAAAACAAGAAAAAACAUGUAAAACUUGCUUUUAAUAUUGACAUUUUAUAUAUUAAAUGAAUUAUAUAUAAAAAUUAAAAAAAAAAACUAUCACACCCAAUCAAACCAGACUCCUAAAGACACCCGUAUGUUGCUUCCUAUCCACAUUGAAGGUGAAAUCCUUACCCUAUGUCCCAAUCAACUAAAUAUCCCCUUAGGACUUUUCUACAAAGCGUUGUGAGGAGGCUCUCAACUUUGAAAAACUGCCAAUCUCAUUGUUUCUCUUUCCUAUCCUUAGAUAUUACUCCCACCUUGCACAGCAAUUUAUAAUCAUUCACAAACUAAACAUAACAAGAAUACGCUGAAAAAAUAAAUAUCAUGAAUUAUAAUCGCUACUCUAUAAAGAUAAAGAUUUUUUACUCUGAUUUUUUUCUUGUCAAAAAAUCAUCUUAAUUCAAUAAUUUAAAUUUUUAGGUUAUAUUUUAAAAUAUAAUUUAUAUUAUUUUCUAACAUACUUUCUCAAGUAAAAACUCUUUAAGUUAAAAAUUUACACAAGCUCAUAUUAUCUUGUGUUUGAUUUUUAUCAAAAAAAAAAAUACUAAGGGUAGUGAGAUUCAAAGUCAUGACUACUUAGUUAUCAAGACUCUGAUAUCAUGUCAAAGAACUAUCUCAACCCAAUAGUUUAAGCUAUUAAGUAAGGUUCUAAAAUAUGAUUUAUAUUAUUUUAUAUAAUUUCUUCUCUUAAAUAUUUUCAAAUAAUUUAAAUUCUUGACUAAAAAACUUAAUGAAAAACAAUUUCUAACUUGGCACCUCUUCAAUACAAAACUAAUUUUCUACCUGUAAAAGAUCUAGAGAGCAAAUUUUCUUUUCAAUCAUGGUAGGGGAUAUUUGAGGGGAUAUUUGAAGGGAUAUUUGAGGCAGUAGGAACGUCGUUCAUGCUUUAAAGCUUAGAGGCACAUGGGAUAUAGAUAAGAUCCGACCACCACCCAAACUAAUGAAUCUUUUCCUGCUUUCUUUUCAGUCGACUUCACCUGUAAGUUCAAACUAAAGUAAUUAUGAAGAGAACUGAAGCUCGGCGGCCCGCAUAGAUUAUAAAAUUAUUAUGGCUCUCAAGAAUCCAAAUCCUUUCAUCUCCAUGCAGCCGAAGAUCUUAUGGCUAAAAAUAUUUUGAAAAAAAAAAAAAAAAAAAACCAGUGGUCUAAGUCUGUGCCUUGCUUUCCGACGGGAAACAAUCAUUAAUUCUAAAUACAUAUGCAUAGCAUGAUGAUAUUGUGCCUCGGGUACACAAACCAGUGCAAUUAGAACAUCACGAUAAUUAUUUACCCAAAGAGUUUUAUACUCUAUAGAUUAUAAAUAAAUAAAUUAGCUCUCUUUCUAAAAAUUAUCAAGCAAUAUACUGUGUGAGAUAUAGAUUAAACCUUUACCAUAAAGUUUUAAAGUACUCUAUUGGUAAAAUAGGCAUGGAUGGAGAAUGAAAAUGGCUUCUCCAUCAAAGUAAACCCCUUCUUCUUCUUUUUUCCUUUCUUUUUAAUCCAUUUUUUGCAUAGCUUAUAUCUGUGCUCACAUGGAAUGGAACUCAUGCAAUCAUCACUGUUAAAGGGGAAAAGGACUUAAAAUAACUCCUAGAUCACAUGGGUAUUGGAAUCUCAUCAAUACUAUUUAAUUUCUUUUUUCAAUAUAUAUAUAUAUAUGCUAAUAAUAUUCCAAAGCAUACCAGAUUCAUAGUGUGUAAAUCUCCUCUUUGCUGGCAUUGGUAUUGUCCCAUGUACAUUGAUAAAAUUAAUGCAAGUAAAUUGAAUAUUAUAAGUAGACUGUAACUAUUUUUUUAUUAUAUUAAUAAUUAUUUAAAAAUUUAUACAGGUGCAGUGAGUCGCUCUCAACCCAAAUACUGUUUGGGGUUUGUUUGUUUUUUUUCUUUAAAAAAUUGAAAUCCUUGACGAUGAAGAUUGAGCCUCAAGGUAUUGUUAAUUUUUUAUUUAUUGCACGAAGUUGACAUUGUGUUAGGUGAUUUUUAUAGGCAGAUAGAACAUUCCCUUUGUAGAUCAAAGCUUAUAAAUAUACUAGAUUAGUGUGUUAAUAUAUUUAAUUUGUCGUAACAUGAAGAUUGUAGUUAAAAAAUAAUUAAUAUGAAUUAGUAGUUUAUCAUCACAAAAACAUGCUAAACAAAACUAUGUUCUAGAAAAUACUAGAAAUUAUACAUGUUUAAAUUAAUUAUACUUAAAUUAAAAUAAAUAAAUAAAAUACUUCAUCGGUUAAACUCUUCAUUCACGAAGAAUUAAUAAGGAUUAAUUUUUACUAUUACCAUUCUUUAAUUAGCCACCAUAAACCAAUAAUUAAAUCUAAAAAAUCAAAGAUUCUUUGUUUCUUAUUCAUCCAUAAUUUUUUUUCAUUAAAACAAACUUCCAACAUCUAUUUUGUUUAAUUUCCCUUCAACUCAUUAACAUACAUUAUAUUCUCCCCACUAAAUAUUCUAUUUAGUAAUGUCGCUUAACUUUUUCUAAAAAUAUUUUUUAUUUAAAAAAUAUUAAAUUGAUGUUUUUAAAUGUUUUUGAAAUUAUUUUUAAUAUAAUAAUAUAAAAAAAUAAAUUAUUUUAAAAUAUUUUUAAUUAAAAAUAUUUUUUUAUAAAAAUAUCAUGCACAAUAUUAUCAUACCAACAUUAAAUAAAGUGAGAGAUGAGAAGAUAAAAGAAUUAUUGGAAUCACCUAAAAAAGGUUUGCUAAAGCAAUACCUAAAAAUCAAGAUGAUUCUUAAAAGUGUAAAACGCUUUUCCCAUCCUUUAUGGAAGUUUCUUGUAUCCUUCACAAACGCAGACAAAAAAUGAGAGCAUGCAAUUAUCAAAAUAAAUAAAUAAAUAAAAUUAAAUUAAAAAUCAUGCACAUUGCACAAUGUAUCAUGAUGUGCAUCACAUCACAUACAUGAUAUGAAUCAUGUAUUCCCAUUUGCCACUCCCCUUGAUGAUUGCUGCACGUCCGAGUCGCCAUGUACGCACGUGUAAACAUAGACUAAGUGCAGGGUAGUGGCCCUAGUGGGGCACCCCUUUUUUAGCAAACCGGAUUUUCUUUUUUAUUUUCCUUUUUUUUUCUUUGUUCCUCUCAAUUUUACCUUCUCGGAUGCUUCUCAUGCAUAUUCAACCAUGCCGUUUUUAAUGCAUAACGAUUAGUUUGAUUCUUCUAGGGAUCAAUUUAAUGAAAACAUUGAUUAAGUUAGAAUUUAGAACAUAUUAAAUUUCACAUGAUAAUAUCUUUCACCGGUAUAUUAACUUAGAAUCCAGCCUAAAUUGAUAAUUUAAUUUAUUAAUAAUCAGACGAGUUUAGAUAUUAAUCCAGUUAAAUAUAGAUGAAUAAAUAAAUUAAUCUAGAGUCAUUUUAAAGUUUAAUGUUAUUUGACCUGAUAAAUUCUAAAAAAGUAAUUCAAUUUUUAUUAAAAAUAACUUUGUUUCAUUAAAAAAAAGUGAAAUGAGCGAUUUAUUAUUAUAAUUUAGAAUCAAAUUAAUUAAUUAAUUACCCUAGUAAAGGAAGAGGCCAAAGAAAAUCCCCGCCCCGCUUUCGCUUUCGAUCGACAUGCUAAAGCGGAGGAAAUCGCCGAAGACUCCAGCGCAGAGUCAAGUCCACGCACAACAUCAGGCGAGCACUGGCAUCAUGACACCUGUAAUUACUAUUCGUAUAACAGAGCUCCACCUACCAUUACUGGCUAGCCUAGUAUGGUGACGGCGAUGUGAAGAUCGCCAUGGACGUGCAUGUUUCGACAUGAAUAAACUGGAAGACAAGGAAGGCAGAGACAGAGAGGUAGAGCUAGGGUUUCCGAUCAGGAAAUGCUUUUGCUCAAUGCAUCGAGCAAGACGACAAAUAAGACUACAAGAAUGAGCUGCAAUUUGGGGCUACACUCCUCUCUCUUUCUACAUGUUUGUUUCUGAACCUAUGGCCUGGAAUAUAUGCUUGCGCUUUGCAGUGCGAACCAGCCCCUCGGGCUCAGCCUCCCCCAGGACAACAAAUAAGGACACCGGACAAAAAGUUAACUAGGCGUGUUUUGCAGGUUCACGGUCCAGUUUUUUCAAAUAAUUGUUAGGCCCCAGCCCUACGAUACCACUCUUUUUGCAUUAAAAAUGGCUUGUUAUUAUAUACAUAUAUAUAUAUAUAUAUAUAUAGUCACUUCAAUGGCGCAGGGCCCUUCCUAUGGUUCUCGUUCUCUCCCUUGUGUAAGGAAGGACACUAGACAAUUUUCUGUUGGCUUGUAGACUUCGAGCUUAAAGGGAUGACUCAUCUAGGAAUAUUAUUUUAAAGUUUUUUUUUUUUAAUAUAAAAAAACCAAAUGAACCACCCACAUUAGUGUGGCGUUGAUGAUAGUGAUUGAAAUUGGGUGGUGAUUGGUAGGUGCGGCAGGGUUCUUUUUUGCCAAGAAUCUCUGCGAGGGCAUCGUCACAAUUUCUUUUACUCCACGGGCAAAACAUAAUUUACAAGACCAGAUCCUGGCGUGUAUAUACAUCACCAAAAUUAACCACAAGAGCCAAUCCUCCUAGAGUUGUGUGAUAGCAUCGUCUCACCAAAAGGAGAGCCCCUGGUUCAUGACCACCUAGAGUUAUUGGCAUUUAAAUAGAAACAAAGACAUGCGCAGAGCGCAGUCACAAAAUUACAUUAAAUCCAAAUAAACUAUACUCCAUUAAUCCAAAACCUUCAAAAUAUUCCAAAAUCAAGAUCCUCCAACCAGACUAAAUAGAUAAUCAUUGUAAUUGGCGUCUAUCACCACCACCCAUAACCGAAACCCCCCUUCCCCCACUCACUCUAUUCAUUAUUAUUUACAUUUUAGCUCAUUUUAUAUAAUUACUAGCACUGCUUAAACACCUUGACCUCACAUGAUAGAGCAUGCAUUAGGGUUCUCAUCAUUGAACUGCAAAUGAUCUGGGUAAGCCUGAACUGGUCGAUAGCCCUGGUGCGGUGCAUGCCCGAAUCCAUACUCCUGAUGCGGUGCAUGGCCGAAUCCAUACCCAUUCCCGUAAUCCGGUCCAUGUGAAGCAUAAACAGGUUGACCCACAUAACCAUUUGGUCCAUUUCCAUAUAUUGGCUGACCCAUGUAUCCGAAUCCAGGUUGCACCGUCAACUCCAUCCUGUUGAUCUCUUCCAAUUUUGCAGCAGCAGCAGCAGCAUCUUGCCCGCCACCUUUCUUCUUUCCACCGCCACCUUCAGCAGCAUUAUCAGCUUCCUUACCACCUUCCUUACCACCUUUCUUCUUCUUCGGUGGCACAAUGUCCACUGGCCUCUUAAGCCUCUCCUUCAAAGUCUCAGCCAAAGCCUUCACGUCCAUCGUCCCUUUGACCGUCACCAAUUCCGUCUUUGUGUCAAUUCCUAUCUCUUGCACACCUACAAAAAAUUAAAAUAAUAAAGUUGAUUAGUACUUAAUAAUUACUAAUUAAUCAGCAGCAUUAAAAAAUUUAACGCCGUGACUUGAACGGAAGGGAAGAUUUUGAAAACGUAUAUACCUUUGGUCUUGAGGACUAUCUUUUGAAUCUUCUUAAUACAACCCUGGCAGUGAAGUCCCAGCUUUAGUACCGCCGUGCUCACCGGAGCCUGUUAACAUUUAAAUAAUAACGGCAAGUCAUUAAUUAAUUAAUCAUAAAUCAUUACAAUUAAUAACAAAAGAAUCCCAACAUUAACCAAAAAAAAAAAAGAAGGUAAAAACAAAGGCUUAGGCUCUAAAUUUUUUAAGCAAUACCUCUUUUGGUUUAGCAGCAGAGUCUGGUUUUUUGUCAUUGGAUUUCUUGUCCUCUUUGUUGCUGCUGCCGUUGUUAUUUUUGUUGGUUUCUUGUUUUUGGGGUUGUGGAGAGAUGAGGUCGACCUGCUUCUUGGUUUUAAGGUGGAGAUAGUCUCUGACUUUCAAAGGAUCAAUCUUUCCUGUAACAGCAAGCUUGUUUGAAGAUGGCUCUGCUUUCACUGUCUCUACGCCUACAAAAACCCCAAAAACAAAACCCAUUAAAGAAACAGCAAAAACCCAGUUGCAGGAUCUGCAUAGCAAAAAAGGCAAUAGAAAUCUUAUACUGAGAAGGAGAAAAACAGAGUAAAAAGAGAUAAUCUUUAGAAUCUGCUUAUGCAAAAAAAAGAAGAAAAAAAAGCCCAAUAAGGUUAAAAGAAAAUGGGUACCUUCAAAAGCACGAACAGAUUUGACAAUUUUAGAAACACAUCCUUCACAAUGCAUUUCCACUUUCAAAACCACAGGGACUGGGCCUUUCUCUUCCUUCUUUCCUCCCCCGUCACUGCCUUUGCUUUUCUCUUCCUCUUUCUUCUCUACUUCGUUGUUGUUGUUGCUGUUGUUGCUGUUGUUGUUUUUCUUCUGCAAAACAGAAAGGAAAAAAACCCAUUAUAGCUGAUUAGAAAGGAUCCAAAUAUAAACUAUGAGUUAACUCAGAGAAAAAGGUAACCUCUAGUUUUGAGUGGGUUAACUCACCUUAGCCAUUGUGAGUUACAGCGCGGUUUCUGAUUCUAGAGAAUGGUGGUACCAGGGGUGAGAGAGAGAGCGAGGAGUCUUAUACAGAAUGUUGGAGUCCUAUUUAUAGGGGAGUGAAUGGAGGAGGGCAGUUAUGAGUACAUGAUGAUGAUGGUAAAUCACAUGUAUGUAUGUCAUGUAAUCACACCAUACCAUAGCAUAAACAAAUCAUAGCAAUGUAAAGUGGACUUUGUUGGAUUUAUGUGCUUUCUAAGGUUUUGGGCAUGUUUCUCGGUGGGGAAGGACCGAAGGAGAGACGUCUGUGUAUUUCCUGGCAGGAAAGCCCAUUGUAAAGCCUUCAUUGGAUUUAUUGGGUUGCGUCUCUCUGUCUCUCUGUCUAUUUGUCUGUGUUAAUGGAAUGGCUUUAAAUUUGGUGGAUGUGACACACUCACUCUCAAGUAAUUGACACCUUGUUAAAGCUUCUUCCCAUGGUGCUAAGCGUGUAAAUCAAUCGACUGUAACUACACCCACGUACAUUGAUUUUGCUGCUGAUACUGUGUGCAUUGUUCCUCAUUGUGUAAGACUUCCGAAGUGAUGAUUGAAGCUUCCUUUGAUGAAUAUAGCGUAAUGUGGAAGUUGAUAGGGGAAGCAUCUAUGAGUUGCAAGGUGACAAGUUCUUCCCCUCUUUUGGGCGGGUCUUGGAUAUGAGUUUAAUCCAGAAACAUGCGAGUAAUGUGGAAGUUGAUCUUAAAUAUUCCAUUAACUGAAAUAUGUAUAGAAAAGUGAAUUGAAUGCAUCUAAACCAAGUAAUUCUUUCGUUUCAUGCCAAAUGAAUUGUUGAUUUAUAAAUAUAUAUAUUUUUACCAAUUUAAAAACUAACGAGAAAUUUAUCCUUGUUAAGAAGCUAGAUAUGAAAAUUUAAUUAUCUGUUUUUAGAUCACGAUCUUGAAGAUGCACCUCUAUAUGUAUAUGUAUUAGAAAAAUUAUAUAAAUUCUCAUAGAUGAUUCUUACAAAUAAUGCAUGUAUUAUGCUCAAAUUCUAAAUCAAACGAUUAUGCAUGAUUAAUUUAUAAACUUAUUUGAAAUCAAUAGGCAGGUAUUUAGUGCAUCAAAUAAAUAAAACUUUUGCGCAAUUGCAGUCUAGCGAGGAAUUUCUCCUUGAGGAACAAAAAUAAUUGUUUACCUAUUAAAUUUCUAUAUCUUUGCUAUUGGCCAUUCAAUAUUAAAUAAUAAAAUUAAAAUAUUAAAUUAACAAAAAAUAUAUAAAAAUAAAACAAUAUUAAUUCAAUUCAAUAAUGUUUUAUAUUUAAGGUUUGAUAUUAUAUUUCUCGUUUGGUUUUUCUAAUGUUUUUUUUGUUAAUUUUAUCAUUUUAUAAUUUGAUUUAUGAAGUUUGUUGAUUAUUAUUUUUUUAUUAUAUUGAUUUAUUAAUUAUUUUUCCUUCUUAAAAUAUAAUAACAAUACUUUGAUAUUAUUUUUUUCAGCUGCAAAGAAAUUGACCAGAUUCACGGCGAAUCACGAACAUCAAUCUAGUUAUGUUAUAAUUUGAAGUAGGAUCACUUGCCCCUCACUGAAGAAGUUCGCAAGCAAAUAUAUAUCUAACUUCAAAUUACUUUCUUAUUGAUUUAUAUCAACUAGUCAUCUCGUUACGUACUGUACACACAUGUGACAUAUAUUGUUCAAGUAUUUUUUAUGAAUAUUUGUGAAAUAACAUAGAAAACUAAAAUGGAAACUAGUAUCUUUUGUUAUAAUUGUUAAACCCGGUCUAGAGAUUUAGCCGGCUAAAAAACUGGAUUUCAAUUUUAUAGGUUAACUUAUAAAAUCAAGGUUAUUUAAAGGAUUGGUUGGGUUAAAGUAUAUCUACACUCUCUAGCUCCUUGACAUGCUUUCUAGGACAAACUUGUCUCUGUUUCUCUAUCACUUUAACCUCCUCUUUCACUCCUUCCUUUUUGCUUUCAUUUAGUGCACAUCAAAAGAGCUCAGCUUUCUUUGAAUCUGCCUCACCUCAUUUUAAAAGCCUUUCCCCUGGGGUGAACACCAUACAUCCUGCUGUCUCGGGACGACGACACCUUACAUCAUAACAGAACGACCAAAUAAGGGUGGAAACCCUGACUCUUUGGCGAAGAAACCUCGCUUCUGGGCUCAUAAUCGUAGCUCUUUUGCAUGAAUCUGCUCUUAUUGCCUGCUAUUGAAUUAGAUGCAAGUCUUUUGAAAUGCCUUAGUAACCUCCUUCAUGCCAUUGUCGACAUAAAUAUUCUUUUUUUUUUCUUUUUCAUUGGUAGAUUGUGAAGCAUAGUCCUUCUUUGGCACUCGAAUUAAUAAUUUUCAGGGAACAAACUCAAGACCUGAUUAAUUAAGUUAUAUUUUUAAAGAUUACUCAGUUUUUAGAGAGAUUAUUUUUAUUUUGUUGUGUUGCUGUCUAGGGUGAAGAAGUUUUAUUAGGGGUUGUUGUUGCAGAACUAAUAGCUUUGAUUAGAAUAUCACCUUGGUCAAUUUUUUUUUUGUUUUGAAAAGGAAUAUUUAAUUCCCUGGCUUUUGUACCGUUAUUUGUUGGGGGGGAAAAUAAUUAUCUAAGGCUUAGUCAUCUGUUUUUUUAGAGCUAAUAAAAAGAGAUGAUUUGUAUUCUUUUUUCCAAUCAUGUAUGUCUGUUUUGUCAGACGUUAGAGAAUGAAUUUCCAGUAAAAAAAUCUUUUGACAACAUGAGAACGUGGUUGCCCUUUUAUCAAACAAUUAAAUUGGAUAAAAACUGCUGCUUUGGCACCGUAUGAGCACUGCGUUCUUCAAAAAAAAAAAAAAUUAAAAAAAUUAAAAUUUUUUAUAUUUUGAGUUGUUUUAAUGCAUUAUCUCAAAAAUAAUUUUUAAAAUAUAUAAAAAAUAUUAUUUUAAUAUAUUUUAGUAAAAAAAACAUUUUUUAAUAUAUUUACGUUGUCAGUAAAAGAUCAAGUAAAGUUUGUUAAGGAUGCCGACAGAUGCAACAAAAAAAUGUUUGAAAUUGCAUACAAUCUUAUUAGAUAAUUAAGUUAGCGAAGGGAAAAUCAAUUCAUGUAUUAAAUUUGAUUGGUGGCUGCAUGCAUAACCGCCACACCGUAAAACAAAAAAUCCUAUUUAAAAAAGAAGUUUAUUGUAAAAAAAAAAAAACAUAAUUAAAAAAACUAAAAGACAAAUAUUGAUGAAAAUAUAUCAUAUAACAACAAAGAUCUUUUACUCGGUUUUGUUUAGGCAAUUUAUUUAUUAAAAUAAAUUAGUAACAUCAAUUAACACACACAUAAAAAUUUAAAAAUGAAAAAAGGGAAGAAAAAACUAUAAUGUUUUUAAAAAAUACAAAUAAAUCAUAUUAACCUCUUCAAAAACUAAAUAGACCAAUAUAAUUAAAAAAAAUUAGUUUCAAUUUAAAAAGUACUAGAUAUGCCACAAAAAAAUAACACAGGGAUGUUAAUCAAAGCAUAAAUUGUAGAAAACUUUUUAAAAAGAUAUAUAAAAAAGAUAUUUAUUAAAAACACAAAAAAAAAAGAGAAAAAUAAGAGAAAACAAAUGAGAGUAAGUGCUGCUAUGCCCGGUGAGUUAAGCCGAAUGCCUGUUCGCGGGCCCUUUUUUUUCAAGUUAAUGGGGCAGGUCUUGGGCUGGCAUAGGUUUCAAAAGUAAUUAGGGUAAAGUACAAAAAACAUUUAAUGGUUAUAUUUGAUUCCAAAUCAUAAAAAAUCAGCAUAUCUCGUAAAAAAAUAAAAAUAGGUUACAUGCUUUUUUUUAUUUAAAAAAUACAAAAUUUGAUACAAAGUUAAAAAAAAAUAAUUCAAUAAAACAUUUGAGGACUAUGGUUAAUCUCUCUUAGUUCCUAACCUGGCCCAACUAAUACACUUGAUUUGCAUAAGUUUAAUGUUCAAGGGUGAGAUAAUUUCAUAUAAUUUUUUUUAAAAAAUAAUUUUAAAAGAACAAGAUCUAACAAAAAAAAUACCAAAAAAAGAGAGGCAAUACUAUGUUAAUUUAAUUUCGAAGUAUGGAAUAAAUGAAAUCAAGUGCUGCUAUGCAUGGUAAAUGAGGCCAAAUGCCUGGUCGCAAGCCUUUUGUUUUCAUGUUAAAGGGGGUAGGUCUGUUUUCAAGUUCAUGUUAGGAGUGAUUGGGACAAAGAAAAUCAAAUUUGGUGGUUAUAUUUUAUUCAAAUAAAAAAAACAUUUUUUAAAAAUAAAUUGGACAUAUGUCAAAAAAACAAAACUCCAGGUUACAUGUUUUAUUUUAUUUUUAAAAAUGCAAAAUCUCAUAUGAAGUUAAAAACAAAUGUAAUAAAACUUUUGGUGAUGAAGAGAAAAAUUAACAAAGAAAUGAAAAAAAAAAAAUUAAUCAGGGUGAGUUUUCUUAACAAAGGUUAAUUUUUUAAAGCUGCAAAUCAUUUAGUUUCAAACCUUCGCCUAACAAAGAUGCUCGAUAUAAUACAAAUUUAAUAUUGAAAAGUGAGGCAAGUUAAUUAUUAUUUUUUAAUAAAAAAUAUUUUCAGGAAGAACAAGAUUUAAAAAACUAAAUAAGGCAAUUUCAGAUCGAUUUAAUUUUAAAGGAUGAAGAAAAUUAAAUAAGUCUAAUUUAUAUAUAAAAAAAACUAUCUUGAAUGAGGUGGAUCUAGCAAAGGCAAAGAAAAAAAAUACGAGGUCAUCCAUUUCACUCCAACAAAGCAAAAGAAAUCUUAUAAGAACUGUGAGAAAAUGUUAGGUUACAAAAAACAAAAAGUCCAACUCAACCUAUCUUAACUUUUAUAACUUGUGACUCAAGAUAUGAGAUGAGGAUAAAGUAAAAAAAAUUAAAAAAUCAUAACAAAUUACAAAACUCAAGACCCAAUAUGUUAGUGUCAAAUUAUGAUAAUUGUUGCAUGUGUGCAGCGUCGUGGUGAUGUGUCCACUCUAGGAUUGUAUAUGGAAAAUGGGUGAGACAAGGGUUUCUUGUCUUUUAUUAGUGGAAAGAGAAUAAAAGUCGUCAUCUAGUAUUUUUGUCACUAGAAACCUUAAUCGGUCUCAGUAAUCGGUUACGAAGAUUAGUUGCGUAAAUAAAAAGUAUUAGCACCCCAAAUACACGUUACUUGAAGUAAGCUGUAUUGUUUAAUUGUUUGAUAAAGGUGAAAUUAUUGUUGUGUUUCCUAAUCAUUGGGCAUGUCUAAGUUUUAAGUUAAGUCCUCCUCGGUAAGUGACACGAUCAAAGAGUUGAUGUCUUCUUCCAAGUGCAGAAGUGUCAAAGUAAUAAAUAACUCGGCAAAAUCGAGGUCGAUUCACAUGGAGGUCAACUAUAUAAAUUAUAAAUAAUAUAUAUAAUUUAACAAAGAGUUACAGAGAUCUUUGAGAUGUGAGAAUAAUGAGAGGAUUAAACAAUGAUAAAAAUAAUUGUCAAUGUUAGAGGAUUCACUAAUGGUAUUAAAAAUAAGUAUAGUAUAAACUCUUUUUAUUACUCAAAUGGAAACCACACACAAAGAAGGUUCCAAUCGGAUGAUUUAUAUUUAAUAUUUUAUUAUAAAAUUUUAACAUGAUUAUAUUAAUUAUCUUAUUUUAGUAACAUCAUAUUUUUAAAUAUUGUCUAUUCAUGAUGCUAACUUAUGUUAACAACAAAUCAAGUUCCUCUCAUAACAACGAUGUCAGCUGAAGACUAUGAAGGAUCAAGCAUUUUAUUGUACCAAGUGUUAUACAACACAAAUCUAGAUUAAUCAUUUAACAAGGAAGGUAUUAAGAAUUAGUAAGAUAAAAAGAUAAAACAUAUUAAUAACAAACUUUCUUGGAUAUAAACAUUGAAGUCCAUGUUGAGUUUAUAUUAUAGAUAUUCUAACAUCAUUUAUGAAACCUUUUCACUUUGACAUAAUUAACUUAGAUAAACAUUAUGAAGAAGAGAAAUAUAAAUAAAAAAAAGAUACGAACAUAAUUAUGAUAUAAGUUAACUAAGAGUAGUAAAGGAAAUGAAAAUAAAACAUGACAUAAAACUUGAACAUUACAAAGAGAGAAAGCAAGAAAAUGAUUUUGAUUUAAAAACUAAGAUGCCUAAAUAUAUGACAAAUGCCUUCUUUUAUAGGCUAAAAAGAACUAUUCAUUUUGUAAUUAACUAUUGAAUUAGUGGCAACUAUUGGCUUAAUGGACUUGGUGGUUUAGGUGUGGAUUUGUUUUAUGGAUGAAAUGGUGUUGUUCCAAUCAGAAUUUGGCAAAGUGGUCUUCAUAAAAGUUAUAUGAAUCUAUCUUAGCUUUCCAUAAAAAAAAAAAGUGCUCAUUUAGAUUUUUAGAACCCGAGAUAUGAAUUGAACACUGAACAAUGUCUAGGCUGCAGGACAUAUUCGGGCUUCUCUUUUGAUGAUAAGAUUUGUACUCGAAAAUUAUAGAAUUGAGUCUUAGACUCUUCAUGAAUGUUUUAGGCCUAUGUCUUAGCUUUCUAGCCAUAUAAAUCAACAGAAAUCCAAUAUCUACAGCUCCAAAUAUGACCCAAUGACUGAAUGGUGUUCUAGUUUGAUUUGAACUAGCAUCUCUUCUAUAAGCUUUGUCAUUUCUUUGUCUUUUUAUUUUCAAUAGUUAAUCACAUAAAUCAAUCCUUUGAAUUGUGAGAUAUGCAUGCAUUUAAAAUAAGCAUUUACCAUAAAUUAAAGUUGUCUUAUAUUAUCAUACUUUUUAUUAUAAAACAUACUUUAAGUUAGGGAAUUUAAUGAUAUUUUAAGUAAAUAUGAUGAUAUAAAGCCUUAAUGAGAAUGCAAUUUUAAAUACUAAUCACACUCCCCAACCAGCUUAUUCGAAGGGCGUGAUUAAUACUUAAUGAUACUUUAAAUACUUAUCACUUUUAAGGUGAGAGAGAUAGAGUUCACACCGGCUACUCUAUCUCUGGCGAGGAGUUGGGUUAGUGGUGGUCAAGCUGGUGGUGAACGAAGGCCACAGUGGAGCGAGAAAGAAAGAAGAAAAGGUGGCAGAGAAGAAAAAGCUUAGGGAAAAAGAUAUUUUUUUUUUUAUCGAUUUUGGACCUAAUUUUCUCUCCCACUUUAGCCAUGAAAAUCAAAUCUAUUUAUAAGGGGUGGAAGAUGGACAUUUUGUCUCUUGUGGUGUCAAAUAUCAGCCCUUGGUUCGGCCUGAAAGCAUCCCAACCAUUAGUUGAAAAUAGCAAUGAUGAAUUAUCAAUUUUGUGCAGAAAAAUGUUUGGUCAGGUUGGCUACUUUUGGGUGGUGCCACCGCUUUUUAAGCAUUGAUCAACUUGAACGGUUAACACUGGCAUGUAGUGAAGUGUCAAGUGAUUAUUUUGGUGAAUGUUUUGUCGAAUUUAAGGGAGAAACAAGACGUCAAAUGGCUUGGGAAGGAGGCCGCUUAAACAGCCUCUCUAAAAAAGAAGAUGAACAAUCAUAUUUAAAACAACGUUGUUUUGACCAAUUGCAUUUUAGUCCUUUAAUGAGUGAUUUAUUCCUAAUUACACCCUUGUUUGGCUUCAAACUUUCAAUUUUAUUCAAUUUUACGCUUGACGAAUUUCAAUUCAAGCCCCAGAUUUCAACGCUUUUUCUCUUUGGUCAUUGGUUUUGGAUUUAUGCAAUUUGACCGUCAAUUGAUCAAUAAACUUUCAAUUUCUUCAAUUUAACCCUUGAUUCGCUCAAUUUAACUUCCUCUAUUUCGCGCCUUUUCCAGUUUGGUCUUUGGUUUUGGAUUUAUUUAAUAAAGUCUCUAAUUGGCCAUCAAACUUUAAUAUUUAUGCAAUUAAACCCCUGAUUUGACCAAAUCAAUUUUUAAUAAAUUAUAAUUUUACCCCUGAACUUUAACUUCUUCUAAUUAAAGCCCUAUUGACUUACAAAAGAAUUUUUCUUGCAAUCAAACCCUCCAUAAAAUCAAUUAAACCUUCAAUAAAAUUACGAGUCCUUGAAUAUCUUAUUUUUAACUUUUCUUCCUCAAGUUGAAUUUACUUUGGCAAUGAGGCCUUCAUUAGUAAAAAAAAAAUUAUACUGUCAAAUUUCAAUCUUUGUAUUUUUGAACUUUCUUAACCAACUUUUGGUUAUUUUUUAAGCGCUCUAACAUCCUCUUCUCACUACUAUUAUUUUUUUUUAAUUUUUUUUCAAAUAUAUUUUUUGACUUUUUUUGUAUUUUUUUAAUUUUUUGUGUGAGGAUACAAAAAUAGGUAAUAAUAGAUGUCCCCUCUUUAUAAUGUGGACGAAGCAAAGACUAAUUAAGUGCUUUACAUAAUAAGUUUUGUAAAGAUAUACAAAAUGGUUUUUCUGAUACUGAUCUUCUUAAAACUUUAAUUCGGUUGAUCUGAAACUCUAAACUUUGCAACAAUCUCCUUCAACUAGAACUAUGAUCGAAACUGUGUACAUCUUGAUUAUCUUGAGAUCCUGAUCUUACGAUCCUCUAAAUUCUGUCUUUAGUUGGGUUAACCUAAAAUCCCAUCUGGUGAUUCCCUUUAACCAAAACUUAAAAAAUAUUCUUCCUGAUGGCAGGGUUUGGAAUUUCUUCUUUCUUUUAAGAAUUUUCUAAUGGUAGGGUUCUUCUCACCUUUUCUUUCAAUGCUAAGAUAAUGUUGGUGGCCCAGUCAAUCUGAGAUCUCAUCCGACGAUCUUAUUUAACCAGAAUCAAAGUCUGUGUAGCUUGAUCAACCUGAAAUCCCAUCUGCUGACUCCUUUUAACCAAAAACAAAAUUUAUAUGUGUGGUUGGGUUAACUUAAGAUCUCAUCUGAUGAUCUCCUUUAACUAGAACCAAAACCUGUAUGUAGCUCGCUCAAUCUGAAAUUCUAUCUAGCGAUUUCCUUUAAUCAAAGCUAAAAUCUCUAUUGUAGUUAAUUUAACCUGAGAUCCUAUUUUGUGAUCCCCUUUAACCAGAAUCAAAAUCUGUAUGGUUGGGUUAACCAAAAAUCUCUUUUGGCGACCUCUUUUAACCAGAACCAAAGUUAAAAUUUAUGUUAGUUACGUUAACUUGAGAUCCUAUCUGGUGAUCUCUUUUAACCAGAACCAGAGAAAAAAAAAUUGUGUUUGCGGUUAGGUUAACCUGAGAUCCUAUCUGGCGACCUCCUUUAAUUAGAACUAAAUAAUGUGUUCUUCCUGAUUACAAGGUUCAAACUUGCUUCUUUCUUUUUUAGAAUUUCCUAAUUGUAGGGUUCUUCUCACUUUUCUUCUUGAUGAUAAGGUUUCAUGGUGAUGGUUUUUUUUUCAAGAUUGACAUCUGUCCUUCCUAGAUUUUUUUGAUGAAAGGUUUGAAAAACUUGGUGCUUCCUGAUUACAGGGUUGACUUGAUAAUUCUCAUUUGCGGGGUUUGAAAACUCGGUGUUUCCUGAUUGCAGAGUUGACAUGAUACUUCCUGAUCUCGGGGUUUGAAAACUCAGUACUUCUUGAUUAUAGGGUUGUCUAAAGACUAUUUCUACUGACACGGUUGAUCUUCUCAUUUCUUUAAUAUUUUUCUAAUGGUAGGGUUCAUCUCAUCUUAUUCUUAUUCUUAUUCUAGGGUCAAAACUGUGAUUCUUUGUUAUUAUCAACUUAAUUAUUCUUUCUUUGUCCACAAUCUUACUGAAUUUCAUUGAGGAUUUUUCCUAUAAUAAUUCAAAAACAUUCAUGCAAUGAUUUAAAGUUAGAUGAUGUGCAUGCAUUCUUACCUAGUUUGGAAACAUAGGUCCUAUCAUUUUCUUCAAUUUUGUAAAACUCUCUCUUGACAUGAGCUUGUUCACAUGUUUGAAAUUGUAUACUGGAUUCGUUUCUCAUGCUAUCUCUCUUACCCAUCACAUCUUCGAGAAGAAGUCUCCAACUUUUUAUAGGUGGCCUUUUUCUAAAAAAUAUAUGAUUUGUCAUUGCUUUUUAUCAUGCUCUUAUCAAUGUUUUAACCUGUCUUUUUCAAAUUAAGGGCUUUUUGGUUUUGUUUCAGCACGUAAAUCUUUUUGUGAAAACUGAAAAUUUCAAUAUAAGCAUCAAAAACUCUUUUAAGCAAUUCCUCUUGGGGUUUUGUUUGUUUUUUUAGAAUGUGGUUUGUUUUAGUUUUUUUAGGUCAAGAUUGCAUCAGAGAUGGCCUUCUGUUUCAGUUUUUCAAAAGGUUUCAAGUAUUGACUUGAAAGAAAUGGUGUGAAGAAAAAUGAAUUGCCUUAUGUUAGGAUUUAACAUUUUUCUUGCAUAGACAAAAGUGGGUCAUUACUCUUUUAUUGUUAUAAGAAUAGUAAGACCAACGUCUAUCAAUCCAGGUUAUACGUGCUUGAUUAGAAAUGACUUCUAAAGGCACACAAUGCAAGGUAUGGAUGUGGGCUUUGAAAUAAAUGGAUGCUUUCGAAGCUCAAAACGUGUUUAAGGGUUUGACGACAUAGGAUCACUUCUCUCUUGCCUCUUUUUUUUUUGUUUUAUGGAGUUGUCUCAUAGACUAUAUUCUUUUUAAAGAAUAAACUUGCUUAAGGAUUUUUAUCUUAGUCUUACAACAUCAUAAUCUCUCUCCCUUUUCUUUUUUUUAUGCCCCCUUGUGUUAGGUUUUGACUUUCAUAUAUCAAUGUGUGCAUCUUGGCAUUUUGCUCAAAUUUUUUCUCCUCAUUCUUCUUAACUCUUUCUCAAUUAUUGGAUUUUCUUCCUUAACAUGCCCUUUUCCCAUUAAUUCUAUUAUUGUCUCCAUCUUUCCUAAUGAAAUAUCUCUUAUUGCCUCUAGUGUAAAGUGUAAUCCUAAUCAAGGUUUUUAUAAAUAAGAAAUUCAUUCCAUUUAAAAAGGGACAAGGGAUAUAAUCUUUAGACAGUGAAGGGAUAACGAAAAUGCUAUACAGAGAUAGGAUUUUAUCUCAGGGUUAGCUUUGGUUUAUUCUCUUUACCAAUAAUUGCUUAAAUUUUAUCUUUGAGUGUUUUAUGAUACAUUCCUUAUAAUCAUGCACAAACAUCGUUUGGUGUAUGAUUUUUUAUUUUAAAUUAUAAUUUUAAUAUAUAUAUAUAUAUAUAUAUAUAUAUAUCUUAAAAUAAGUUUAAGUUGAAAGUAUAUUUGAUAUAUAUGACUUUAAAUAUUUUUUUAAAGUUGUAGCAUAAGGUAAAAAUAAAAGUUUUAUUUUUUAUUAAAUCAAAAUUUUAACUCAGUUAUAUAAUAAAUUUUUUAUUUAAGUAAAAAAUAUUUCUAAUAAAAUAUGCUUAUAAUUUUCCUUUGAAUCAAAAGUUAAAAAAUAAUUUAAAUCAAUUUGCAAAAGCAUACAAACAUAACCUUAGUCAACUCUUAAUACUGUCAUUGAUGGAGCAUAGAGGUGUACAAUAAGACUAUCUAUUAGAAUUUAAGGUCUCUGUCACACACAAAUAAGAUAAGAUAAGAUAUGAUUUUGUCUUAUUUUUAACGUCUAAAUCUUUAUCCCAUCACUCUUUGGGAUCAAACUUAUCCAAGUGUCUUUUCCACACUAUCCGUUCUCCUAUUUUCCUAAAUUCAAAGACACAAUUCACUCUUUUAGACCUUGAGCUUUUUUCAUAUAUCUUAUUAUAAAAAAAUAUAUUACAUUUAAUAAAAAUAAUUUUACUCAAAUAAGUUUUUUUAAAAAAUACAAUAUUAAACUUAUAACUUUAAUAUAAUUUUAUUUAUUAAAUUAAAGAAAUAUAUUACUAAAUAAAAUAUUAUUUAAAAUAAAGUAAAUAUUAAUUUUAAUAUUUUAAUAAAUAAAAUAAUUAUUUAAGAAAAAUAAAGAAAUUGGUUAUUUUUAACAAAUUAUUCUAUUUAAGGAAUAAAUAAUAACUAAAUAAAAUAAUAUAAAAUGAUUUAAUUUCUUAACAUAAAUGAUUUAAUUUUAUCAAUUGAUUCACAUCAAAAGAGUGAUUUAGUUUUCUUAAUUAGAUUAGUGUUUUUAUAUUUAUUUGUUCUAUCCCAUAAUUAAUGUAUAUUGAGCAAAAUUGUUUAUCCCCAAAGUGAUAUCAACUGCCACCCAUUAAUGUAUAUUGUGACACAUUACACGCACAAAUCACUAUCACAAGGAAAAGGAUAGGGAGCACCUUAAUUAGACCCAUGCAUGUAACCAUGACAAAAUAUAUACAAACAAGAUUGAUGUGAAGACAUAACUGUUGAUGAGAUGAAACGGAGAACGAAAAGAAAAAGGUUGCCAACUUGACAAAAUGCAGCUAUGUAGAGGCCUUUACGCGGAGAUUGCGUUUAAAGCAAAACGCAGGAGUCAAGUGUUUGGUAAAGAAAAAAUCACUAAUUAUAAUUUAUAAAUCUUAUUAUUUUUUAUGUUUAUAACACAGAAUUGAAAGAAGCAACCAAAGAUUGCUUUCACAUGCGUCCCGCUUGUUUCCGUAAAUAAUUAAAGUUUUCAUUCUCUGCGGGCUCUACAUGGUAAGAAGAGUGUUUGGGGCUGAGUUUGUACCUGUGUUUUGGCAAAUUUUGAAUUUUGUUUUUUAUUAAAAUUGAGUGCAGUUUGUAAUUUUUGAAUCGUUUUGAUGUGUUGAUAUCAAAAAUGAUUUUUAAAAAAUAAAAAAAAAUCAUUGACAUGCUUUUCGACACGAAAAGCUAUUUGAAAAGCAACCGCUAUCACAUUGUAAAAUACGCUCUUAAAACUAACAGAAAAUGCAUGGGUGCCAGACCGGAUAAAAAAUAAUUUAUGCCAAUGCCAAGCCAUCACUGGCUUUCUUCUUAUAAAUGAUGAUUAUGGCCAUGUUUGGAUUAUGGUUAAAUUAUAAUUAUUUUGCUAUUUUUAAAAAUAAAAAUUAAAUUAAAUUGUUAUAUAUUAAUAUCAAAAAUAAAUUUCAUAAAAUAAAAAUAUAUUAUUUUAAAAAAUAAAAAUUAAAUUAAAUUGUUAUAUAUUAAUAUCAAAAAUAAAUUUCAUAAAAUAAAAAUAUAUUAUUUUAAUAUAUUUUAAAACAUAACUACCAACCGAUCCGACCGAGUAAAAUAUAAUUUAUAUUAUUUUAUUUUUUUAAUUUUGUUUUAUUUAAAAAAUUAGUAAUAUUAGUUAAUUACUUAGUACUUGUCGAAUGUAUUUUAUACAUAAAGGAAUUGUAGAUAAUUUAAUGGAACAAUAAAAAAUAUUUUAUAUACAAUAUUAUUUAUUUCAUGAUAUAAUAGCAGUAGUUAAAUUUACAAUAUCUAAAUUAAAAAUCAUCAAUAAUAAUAUAUAUUUUUUUAAAAUUAUUUUAUAAUCUCAAUUUCAAAAGCAUUAUUAAUCAAACACAUUAAAUUACUUUUUAUUCAACCUCAAUUUUAAUCACAGUUUUACCCAAACAUCUAUUUUUUCAAAUCAACCUCAACUAAAAAUAUUUUUUAUAAAAUAAUUUUUUUCAAACUACAAUCACAACAUUUACUACAAUACUAAACACACUUAUAAUAUAUGUCUCCAUCAUCCUCAUCUUACUAUUUUUUUUUUUAACCGAUGACGACCGUAAACCAAAUAAUAAAGGCUUGAGCUUCCUGAGGUGAAUCCAAAAAGCACAGGGAAGCCUACGCCUUGGAUGGAUUGAAAUUAUAUAUAUUCAGCAAAAAUAAUGACAUUGAUUUCGUAGGCUAUGAAACCUCACACACAUCCAGCUGGCCAUCAUAAAAGCAUUCAAAACUUUUCUUCCUAUAAAAAGCUUGUAUAUUUAAAGAGCAUUGAUCACAUCAAAAAAUAAAAACAAAUACUCUUGUUCUUGAAAUUUAAGGCCUUUUCUUUUAUUUAUUAUCCUUUUCAUUUUAAAGUUAUUGAUUUUAUCAUUCGAAAGUCUUUAAAUCUCACCGAUAGAGACUGUUUUUGCAGAUAUUAUAACUUAAUUUUUAACCUUCUAUUUUUCUAAAUAUUUUCAACAAAAAAAAUAAAAAAUAUGUUCUUGAUGUAUUUGCGUUAAUUUCAGCGUUGCCUCAAAAGGAUUCAAAUUUCAAAUUUUCAAUGCGUUCAGCUUUUAACGUGUUAUUUUUAAAAUAGUUGAUUUUUUACAUUGAGUCAGUGUUGAUGUUGCCUUUAAAAAAAAACAAAAUACAAAAAAAUAAAAAUAAAACAUAUUUGGACAAAGAUACCAAAAUGAAAAGGAAGAAACCAAAGGAUUAAAGUGAAUUUAGGUUGCUUGUUAGACUAAGCAAUUAGAAAAGAAGACAACAUUUUUCACCUAUAAAAAAGUGUUUAUCUAAUACAAACAAAAAAGGGGAGGAGGCCAUUACAAAGAAAAACAAAACAAAACAAAAAAAAAUCUUCAGCUCACACACUCACACACUCUCCCAAAAUAGAUACAAAAAAAAACCUUAUACCUAAUAUACUUAAAACCCUAACCGUCAACCACCAAUCACCAAAAAUUAACCUAUGAUUUCCCUUACCCUUACUAUAAGAGAAGAAGCAUACAUGAAAGGCCAUUCAAAACACUAAUGGCCUAUAUCGAUCAAGCCUUUCUCCAUAAGCAGCUAAUAUCCCUUCAUCAAUACUAAUGAAGAACUUUAAUGGCAACCUCCACUAAAAAAAGCCAAACACCGAUAGACCAAAGACCCAUCAUUGUCUCCUAUAAACACAGUUGUACAAGCCUUUUCAUCCUUUUUUUUUUCCAUCAUAUUCAACUUCUCGCUACCUGAAACUUAAUCUCCCUAGCUAAGCUUCAUCUUUCUCCUCAUAUCUAUCGUUAGUAAUGACAGACCUACACCAACAACAAGAGCACCUUUAUAACAACAAUCUUUUCCUAUCCAGCCAACUGAGGACCAACGACCAAUCCCUACCCACAACGCCGACCCCUAUCAUACCUCUCUCCCAUUGUUUAUAGUUAAAGCAACCAGAAAGGGGAAGAAAAAUUAAAAAAACUAACCUGUGAAACAUAUCUAUGAAAAAGAAAAAAAAAACCAAUUGUUUGUGUGUUUUUCUUUACUUUGCAGGUGAUGGUGUAUGACAUUGCCAAUACAGACGUAAAGUAGAGGAGGUGAUCUGUUCGAUCCACCCAUUUUUCGCUUCACCGAUAAUAGCUCGUGGGUUCACGCGCCAUUAAUGGCAGUGGUGCAUGAAGCAGAUACGAACCACUGUUCUGCCACUAUUCGUCUAGCCCCAAAGUCUUUCAAUGUGCUUCCUGAGUUCCCAGCAGUCUCUCCAACCUAUUUCCAACCUUUGAAAGGACCAUUUUGCAAAUUUUAAAUUUUUAGCGUGUUUGAAUUAUUUUUAAUCUUGGAUUUUUAUUAUUUGUAAACAUGUAAUUGUGGAGUGUGUGAAUAAAAUAUAGUAAAAAAAAGUGUUUGUGUUCGUGUUGUGUUUUCUUUUUAUUACCUUUUAUUUUGUGUUAUAUGAAUGAUAAAAAAAAAACGGUGUGUGUUGUGUUUUCUUUUUAUUAUUUUUUAUUUUUGUGUUAUAUGAAUGAUAAAAAAAAACGGAAAUGGAUAAACAAAUUAAUUAAAAAAAUGUUUGAAUUACAUAUGACCAAUAAUCCUAAAAAAUAAUUUGAGCAUUUAUUUUAAAAAUCUAAAAUACUUUUGCAUGGAUUUUACUAUGAGUUUGUAAAAUUCCAAAGAAUUUUGGCAUACAUUUUAAAAAUACCAAAACAAAUUAUUAUUUUUAAUAUAUAAGAUUAUGAAUUUAUACAUAAGACAUAUUCUUGAUAUUAAAUAAAAAAAAACAAUUUAUUUUUAUAUUGGCAUUAGAACAAUUAGGUUUUUAGCCUGAUAAAAUAAUGACCUCCUUAUUGAGGAGAACUUUUCUUCAACCUUAAACUGACAAACAAUUAGAAAAUAAAACUUUUUCUUUGUUUAUAUCAGACAAAUAAACAAUGCAGUUUACUUCAGGUAAAGUGUAUUGGGGUGCUAAUACAUUUUAUUUAUUCAACCAGUCUCAUUUCCCAGACUUUGAGACCAAUUAUGAUUCCUAAUGAUCAAAACAUUAGAUAACAACUCACAUUUCCUUUUUUUACUCAUAAAGGACAAGAUUCCUUGUCCUUCCCUCCCACAUCAUUCCCAACUAUCUUGAUCUAGAAGGAUGAUCAAUGCAAUGUCGCACACGUGCGACAACAGGUACUAAGGCUUUCCCCAAUAAUUUAGUACUUCUAAGCUUAAGAAGAAGAGAAGUAUAUGAACAUGUUGAUUAAUCACUAUCUGAACAUCAAAUAACAUGUUUAUUGAACAUAAUGGAUCUUGAGACACGUUGAUGGCGUUGUUUAUGAGAAACUUCCAAAAAGUCAUUGAUAACUCUUGUUGCUACCCAAUUUUUGACCCAUGUUUUUGAUAUAUUUUCAAAAAAUCCAAAAAUAGAGAAAAACAAAGAAAAUCCAAAAAAAAUAUGUUUUUAAUAUAUUUUCGUCAUUUUAGCAUUUUCAACGUCGUUUAAAUUUUUUUUUAAAAUUUUUAAGGGUCUUUCGAAUGCGUUCGACUUUUCACGCGUCAUUUUCAAAAUAAUUGAUUUUUCGUAUUUGAGUCGACGUUGAUAUUGCUCGUUUUCAAAAAAAUACAAAAAAAACAAGAAAAAUCAAAUUUUACAAAAAAAAGAAAAUUAAGGGACCAAUUUUGAGGCCGAAACAAUAUUUUUGCCUAAGGGAAUUUUGAAUUUUGGAAGGAGGGGCAACCUAAGAAUUUUUUUCUCUUCACCCGAAACUAGCCGUUGCCCCUGGCCCAAGACCAUUAUUUAAUCCCUCUCUUUCGGCUAAAAAUGAUGAGCUCAGCCCCCACCCAGGACUUCUUUUCCUUGUUGGCUCUCCUCACGAGAAAAGCCCCUAUUUCUUCUCAUUCUCAGUUUUGGAAGGCAGGGGAGAUUUGAGCCAUUUUUCGGUCCCGGCAGUAGGGGCAGCACCCACAGUCCCCAGUCCCGUUGGAGAUUUUCUUCUUCUCCCCUGCAGCCGCUCACCAAAAAAGAGCCCCUAGCUCUUUGAUUUUCGCCCCCCCCCUCAGCAGCCGGUUUUCACUACUCCCCUUCUUCACCAUUUAUUUUUUCCAUCUUCUUCCCUUCAACCAGCAAAUCCAAGCCCUGACCCGAAGCCACAAAAAAUAAAAAUCCUCUCCCUUCUCCUCCAAAACCGAACAACCCCCUCACUGUUUUCAUUUUCUUUUCUUCCCCAAACCAGCACCACCCACAACGCCGAUCUUCCUCUCAUCAGCACCGGACCAGCCCCUUCCACCUCUGUCUCUCGUCCCUGACUCUCAACCUCUCCCAAACAGCAGCAAACCGAACCAGCCCCUUCCACCGCUUGCCUCUCCACCGCAGCUCAAGCCCCCCCCAUUUCUCCUUUAAUUUUUCCUCUCUCCGUUCCACGAUCGACUGCCUCUCAGCUGCUCCCUUUGCUCUUCACAGCUCCUGAGCCGGCCACCCUGGCCACAAAAAGAAAAAGCAGCCGCCACCCGAAGACCAGUCUCCGGUGUCCCUCCUGUUCUGCUCCUAGACCGCCGCUGAUCUCCCCACGACUGAAGAACCCAGCUCAGCCCCACGCCGGACAGAGACCAGCGCCGUCCCCUUGAUCUCUUCCACAACAACCCGUCGGCAGCGGAUCCAUCCCAUCGCCACCGAGCUUCAGCGGCCUCGGGCGACCUGCAACCGGCAGAGAACCCCCACAGAGAAGAAGGCGAAACCGAGAGGGGGGCAGAUCCAAAACGACGAAGGAAAAAGAAAAAAACAGAUUUGAAACCAAAGAAAAAUUUAAAAUCUACUGGUUUGUGCGUUGUUUCCCUUGUUGCAGGUGGCGGUGACCUCCACCGCCGGCGUGGGAAGACGGAGGAAGAAGACAUCCCGGACCUCUUUUCUUUUUGGUUUCUCACGCGGCGCGUGAAACCCACGCGCCGCCAGUGGCGGUGGCACGUGGGAGACGCGCCGCCAGUGUUGUUCCGGGGUGCAGAUGGGCUUCAAUGCAAUUCUGGAUUUUUUAGGACCAUUUUGUAAAUUUUAAAAGUGUUUAAUGUAAUUUUUGCUUAUUUAUUUUAAAUUUGUAAUAUGUGAAUGUAAAAGAAAAAAAAAAAAUAAAAAAUAAAUAAUAAAAAGAGAUGUGUGCUUGUUUGUAUUUUUAUUUAUGUUAUUAAAUUGUAAAAAUAAAAGAAGGAUAAAAGAAUUAAUUGUUAAUUAAAUAUGAUUAAAUAUUAAGGAUAAAUAAAAUCAAGUUGUAUUUCCACGAAAAUGUAAGAACAAGUUUUUACAUAUAUUCGGGAUUCAAUAACUGAUUUAUUCAAGCCUUAGAAUUUAAUUAAUAUUUUAAAUUUUCUUAAAUAUGGUUAAAUAUCUCAAGGACAAAUAAAAUCAAGUUGUAUUUUCCAUGAAAAUGUAAGAACAAGUUUUUACAUAUAUUCGGGGAUUUAAUAACUGAUUUAUUCAAGCCUUAGAAUUUAAUUAAUAUUUUAAAUUUUCAAAUCACAUUAUAACACAAUGCAGCUUACCUCAGGUAGGGUGUGUUAGGGGUGCUAAUACCUUCCCUAACCACAACCAGUCCCUUACCCGCGAUCUCUGACAAGACCAGUACAUCAGGUUUCCUAGUAGCCCUCAAUGAAUUACUAGGUGGCGACUCCCACAAACGAAUUCAAAGCAAACGCAACAAACGAUGAAAAAUUGCCAGCCGAUGCCGCGCGCCGAGGAUUUUUUUUGGGGUGCGACAGGAUGGCGACUCCACUGGGGAAGGUAUUGUUUUCAACUUUAUCGGACUAAGCUUUGUGUUUUGAUGUGUUCAAUUUUUUUUUUUGUGCUUUGUUUUAUUUAUUUGUGUUUUAUUCAUGCAUUAUAUAUAUUUCUCUCAUGCAUCACAAGUUUUAAUUUUUGAAAGCACACACCAGCUUUAGGUUAGGUGGGGGACUAGCAGCUUACCUUACGACUUGAGUCAAGGUUAAGUUUGUGUAAACCCAACUCUUUGUUGAGUGCUUAGACUGGUAAUAGUUGGACACGUGCCAACCAAUUACCUACUGGGCCCCUAUAUUGCCUUUACGAAGGCGAUCACUGGGACAACAAGAGACCCUUUUAGAGACCAAGUAGCAAACCUACCCUGUCUCACGUAAAAGAUAGACUGUCUUAGGAUGUAUGUAAAUAUUGUUUUGCAUUGAGCAAACCCUUCUUGAAGCAUCUUGAACUCAAGACUUGUGGGUGACACAUUGGCCGUCACUCCGAAAAUUUUCAUUGUAGAGUUUGGGCAAAAAUCACGAUUCUUGUCCAUCAUACAAGAGUUACGACCAUAUUGUCACCCCUCGAAGGGUGAGUUCGUCAUAUAGAUUACAUGUUCAUACAUUUAUCAUGCAUGUACCGUUGAAAAGUAGGUUCCCCCGCACAAGCUGUGCUGCAAGUGAUUGAAGAAAGGAUGGAAGUGAAGAAAGAUGUCAGAUAGAGGCUCAUUAUCAGUUUGAGUUGAGAGCAUCAAAGGCGAAUAGCUGGACUCAGAUCUGCUCGAACAAGUGUUGAGCAUCAAAUGGAAAGAGAAUGUCUGCACAGUCUUCUGUGGGAACACUACUUGUUCACGUCCAAUUGAAGCUGUAUCUCUCCUUUUCAGUCAUGAACAACAGCAACGACCUUCAGUCAUCAGCUAAUGACAACUCUGAUUCUUGUCUAGUUGCAUUGUUAAGUUUCAUUGCCUCCACAUCAUCUAAUGGAACCAAACGACUACUAGCCUCCUAUACAUGGUGCAUUAGUCUGCUUUAAGUUACCCCGAUUAUGAGCUCAAUUCCAGUUCAGCAGCACAAGAUGGUCUGAAAAACCAUGAUUAAACACUGAACUUCAAUGUGGCAGAGCUCUCUCUACAAAAAUCCAUUUAUGGCUCUGCAAAUUGGAAUGCAAGAGGGGAUUUAUAAGUUGCAUAUGCUACAAAUAUUUCUCUCAUCAGUUUCAGCACGAAGACCUUUUAGUAGGUUGAAGAGCCAGACCUGGUCUGAAAAAUAUGAGCAGACAUCAAACUUCAACGUAGCAGAGCUCUCUCGGCAGGAAUCUGUUUGUGGAUCCGCAAGUGGGAAAUCCAAGAAGGAAUACAGUAGUUUCAGAUCAUCUAUGAUUUUCCUCCAACAAUGUCGGCAUUAAAACUCAAAAGUAGAGAGAAGAGACAUGCCUAGACUGAAAAACAUGAAGAAUACUGAAACUUCAACAGAGCAGGACUUCCUCUAUAGGUGUUUGUUUGCUGCACUGUCAGUAAUCGAAGAGGGGACAAAGGAUUUAGAUUCAUCAGGUGUCUCCCAAUAGAUGAAGGUGAUUCCACACGUCGGUAGGCGAUACUACAAGUUUCUGGGCGCUGCCAAGAUUACCAAGCUGUUGGAAAGUUUUCUAACAAUCCUCAACCAACCACAACAACAUUGAAAUGAUGUUGUGAGGAUUUGCCGAAGAAUUGAGCAAGCUAUGAAGAGAGGAAAGAUUGAAGGAUCUGUCAUGGAUUCCAGAACAAUGAUGAGAGUUAAAUCAGGAGAUGACUUCAACGGUGUGAACCCUUAAUUAUGUGGUACAACCAGGUCUCACGGUAGCGUCAAUUGCUCAAAUGUCUUUGCCAAGAUUGACAUUCCUCUGCCACUUAAGUUUGUCGACUAGCAUCUGCCAGAUUCCAGAAUUUUGCUUGACUCCGACAAAUCCUAUGCAACCACUAAUUUCUAGGUGGUAUAAUCCAGAUAAGAGAUGCGAUGUCAUGGUGGGGUCCUCAAUCAUUUCAAGUGAACAGUUUCAAGAAUUGCAAGAAUUGAGUCUGGAAGUUGAUGAGCAAGAGACAAGUGGAGUCGGUGAAGGAGGGUGUCAUUGGCUAUAUUGUCCCCCGAACAUCUUCAGAAUGACAUGUUGAUCGAAAAUGCUUGGAAAAACGCAAAUAUUGCUAGAAAAGUUGAUUCAAGAAUGGUGAUGAACAGUCAAUCAUAUUGUUUUGGAAUUCUGCAUUUUGUUUUGGGAUCACAUCUCAUCCUUCAACGAAACAUGCCUCGCUUUUGUCUCUUUGUUGUUAUGAAAUCAACAGAUGUUUAACAUUUUUUUUCAGACAAAAUAUUUUGAUCAAACUCCAACAUGCAAUAAAGGCUAAUCAAUCCUGAAGAUUAAAAGUGUUUUGAUUGCAGAAAUGACUCGAUUCUUGUUGAAAUGACAUGAGGUGACUAAACAAAUUUUGAACUCAUACUUCCUAAAACUGAACCACACAUCAUAUAGCUAAGUUUUAGCAGUAUGCAUAAUGACAUGUAGUGGAUUUGGUAGUUAUGGACUCGUGAAUCAUGACUCUUACAAGUCCCAAUCAUUACACUAGAUGAGGUCAAAAUUUAUCGGUUCUAACCGACCUUGCUUGAAAUGAGAAAAGGCCAUCUUUGAUAUCCUGUCACUUUCUAAAAAUUAUCUCCCUUGUAGUCCCAUUUUGAGCUGGAUAGAUCAUUUUUUCAAAAAAACCCUGACUAGGAUCACACCCCACACUGGGGGCAAAUGAGAAAUAUUUUGGAGACAUGAUAAAUCAAUGGAAAGAAAAGCUUAGAACAAAAGUCCAAUGUUUGAGAAAGGGCUAGAAGAAGAAAAUCCAUAGAUUGAGGGCCAUCCAAGAAAAACUUUGAGGAAGGCUAUGCAAAAAAAGGAAAUGAAAGAAAAUGCCUAUCAAUUCUAAGAGAGGCAAGACUAGUUUUCAAUUGAGAAAAGACAAUAAAUGCCAAAAGUCAACACUAGAAAAAUCGAUGCUUCAUAUCUUUUGGUGUGUCUAGGAUAAAGCCUCUAAUGUCUUCAAAUUGUUUUAGAUUGGUUAUUCAUCAAAGAAAAGUUGGAUUUGCAUUAUGACCUAUGUUAAGAGAAUUCUGAUAUUUGAGAUUAACAAGGUUAUAUGUCACUUUCUCUACAAUGACGACAAGAGAAAGAGAAUCGAUGAAUAAUUGAUGUUGAUCCUAGGUCUUUGAAACCCUCAAACACCUUUUGAGCCUUUGAAAUUCUUUUCUUUCAUAGCCAUGAACCAUAGCCUGCAUUACGUGCUUUUAAAAGCCCUUUUUAAUCAAGCAAGCAAUUUGAAUCGAUAAAUGGCGCUCUCAAAACUUGAAGAGCUUUUCCAUAAGGGUCGUGACUUCAUGAAUUAAGCUACUGGUUAUUAUGCAUGCUGAUAAAAUAAAUGCUAAGAAAAGAAACAACCUUUCUUGAUAAAGCCUGAGCAUCUUGUUUUUGAAAUUCAUAAAAAUGUCACCUCAUCACAGACCAUCAAAAGAUAUACCCAAAAUCAGAGUUUAAAGUGGACACAAAGAACCAUGAAAAAGUCAUUUUAAAUCUUACAACGGGUCAUUUCUGUUUUCAAAAUACAAGACAAUCAAAGGACUGCAUUGAAUAGUGUGUUGGGUCUUUGACCAAAGAGUUUGAAUUUCAAAAAAAAUAAUAAUUUCAAAAACUGACAUCUCUCUGAUUUCAUUUCAACAAUUAGACUUGAAUAGACAUGAUCGUUGAAAUGUUGAGAUUUGAUUCCAGAACAAGAAAGAUUUUCAAACAACAUCAAUUGAGUUUGCAAAAUUCUUGACAAAAAUGACAUCAACAUUUCUCGACACUCCUUGAAACGUUGACCACCUGGGGGCAAUACAGUGGACCUUUAAGAAAACAAACAACAUAUCCAGAUCAGCUGGGGGCAAAGAAAGAAUGAUGAUGAGUGUCAAAGUUCAUCAAAGUUAUGUUUAGCAUCUGACAAUGACAAAGAAAAACCUUCUUGAGUAUAAACCGAUGAACGAACCUUCAGAUCAUUGGGGCAAUGUUGUUCAAAGACAAUCCAUGAUCUAGUGCACUUCAGCAGCAAUUGAUGAGCAACGCUGCACUAGAAGGAUAUUUUCAUAUCUUCAUCUUGGUUUAUCAUCUUCAACAUGCUCAAAUGCACACUUCACCGCAUGAAUAUGGUUGAUAACAUGAACAUCAUUGAUGAUGCCAAAGCAGUUAUUUUCACGAUCUGAUUUGACAAGCUAAGAGGAAUCCAUGGAGAAAUACAUCGCGCUUACAAUGAUGAGUUGUUUACUGCAAAGCAUGAGAUCCAUGUCUGGAUGACUUGGCAGUUCCAUGAAGGCUGGUGACCAUAAAUACUUGAAUAGUGUUUCAAUUAGAGGCAAGUUCAUGACUGAUUAACAAUCUUGAUGGGUGUUGGCAUGAUGCACACAAUCAAUCAAACGAUAAUCCUCAGAAGAAUCCAAGAGAGAAAAUUCUUCAUGAUGAAUCAAGCAACACCACACUUGGGAGCAUUGUCAAGCUUGAUGAGCGAUACAAGCAGUAAUUGUCAAAGACAGCCCGGGAUGGGCAUUGCAUUUACAGCUAAGUGGAUGGCUAGCACAUGAAUGAGCCAAUGCAUCGAAAGAACAAAGAAAACUUUGGGAUGCAAACAAGGGAACCCUAUGACGAUGGAGCAUCAAGGAGGGGGGGGACCUAUAUUUCGAAUCAGGUAAGGAUGCAUGCAUAUCAUCUAACCUCAAAAAAAAAAAAAAAACCAUUUGCACAUAUUUUUGAAUUGUUACAGGAAAAUCCUUAAUGAGGUCCAGUAAAAUGGUGGAAAAAGAAAGAAGCAUGGUGGUGAUGAUAACAAAGAAUCGGUUUUGAUCAUGGAAUAAAAGGACGAUGGGAUGAACCUUACCAUUAGGAAAAUCCCAAAGAAAUGAAAAGAUCAACCUUGCAAUCGGGAAGCCUCGAGUUUUCAACCCUUGCAGUCAGGAAACACCGAGUUUUCAAACCUUAUGAUCGGGAAUUAUCAGGAAGCACCAAGUUUUCCAGCCCUUCUUCUGUCAUCCCUUCAGGACUUCGCCAGGUAAGUCCUAUUUUUCACACUUGGCACUUCACAUUCUUUCUAUUUGGGUAGGUCACCCAUCACAACGAGACCACUUCAUCAUAUUUUUUCCAUCUGGGUAGGUCACCCAUUACAAUGAGACCACACUUCACAUUUUUUCCAUCUUGGGUAGGUCACCCAUCACAAUGAGACCAUCAUCUUUUCUGGGUAGGUCACCCAAAGAAUGAGACCAUUCUCCAUUUUUUUUUUACCUGGGUAGGUCACCCAUAAGAAUGAGGCCAUUCCUUCCCCUGGGUAGGUCACCCAAAGAAUGAGACCACUCUUUCCCCUUUCCACUUGGGUAGGUCACCCAUCACAAUGAGACCACCAUUUUUUCUGGGUAGGUCACCCAUUACAAUGAGACCAUUCUCCAUUUUUUUUUUACCUGGGUAGGUCACCCAUAAGAAUGAGGCCAUUCUUCCCCCUGGGUAGGUCACCCAAAGAAUGAGACCACUCUUCCUCCUUUCCAUUGGGGUUCGUCACCCAUACAAUGAGACCAUCAUUUUUCUGGGGUUCGUCACCCAUACAAUGAGACCAUCAUUUUUCUGGGGUUCGUCACCCAUACAAUGAGACCAUUUUUCACACAUUCUUUUGUUUUGGUUAAAUGAGGUCGCCAGAUGGGAUCUCAGGUAGCUUUGGUUAAAGGGAAUCGCUAGAUGGGAUUUCAGGUUAACCGAGUUACACAAUAUUUUGUUCAGUUGAAUGAGGUCGCCAGAUGGGAUCUCAUGAGCUUUGUUAAAGGGAAUCUCCAUUGGGGUUUCAGGAUGACCGAGCUACACGCAUUCUUUGGUUUUUAAAUCGCCAGAUGGGAUCUCAGGUUAACAAAAAUAUAUUGAGCAAACAGAAAGACAAGUUUUUCUUUACAAACUUACUAUGCAAACAUCGAGGAUUUUUGCUUCGUAAGCAUUGUAAAGAGGGGCAUCUGUUGCUACCCAAUUUUUGACCCAGUUUUUGAUAUAUUUUCAAAAAAUCCAAAAAUAGAGAAAAACAAAGAAAUCCAAAAAAAAAUGUUUUUAAUAUAUUUUCGUCAUUUUAGCAUUUUCAACGGUUUAAAUUUUUUUAAAAUUUUUAAGGUCUUUCGAAUGCGUUCGACUUUUCACGCGUCAUUUUCAAAAUAAUUGAUUUUUCGUAUUUGAGUCGACGUUGAUAUUGCUUUUCAAAAAAAAUAAAAUAAUUUACAAAAAAUCAAAUUUUACAAAAAAAAGAAAAUUAAGGGACCAAUUUUGAGGCCGAAACAAUAUUUUUGCCUAAGGGAAUUUUGAAUUUUGGAAGGAGGGGCAACCUAAGAAUUUUUUUCUCUUCACCCGAAACUAGCCGUUGCCCCUGGCCCAAGACCAUUAUUUAAUCCCUCUCUUUCGGCUAAAAAUGAUGAGCUCAGCCCCCACCCAGGACUUCUUUUCCUUGUUGGCUCUCCUCACGAGAAAAGCCCCUAUUUCUUCUCAUUCUCAGUUUUGGAAGGCAGGGGAGAUUUGAGCCAUUUUUCGGGUCCCGGCAGUAGGGGGCAGCACCCACAGUCCCCAGUCCCGUUGGAGAUUUUCUUCUUCUCCCCUGCAGCCGCUCACCAAAAAGAGCCCCUUAGCUCUUUGAUUUUCGCCCCCCCCCUCAGCAGCCGGUUUUCACUACUCCCCUUCUUCACCAUUUUUAUUUUUUUCCAUCUUCUUCCCCUUCAACCAGCAAAUCCAAGCCCUGACCCGAAGCCACAAAAAAUAAAAAUCCUCUCCCUUCUCCUCCAAAACCGAACAACCCCCUCACUGUUUUCAUUUUUCUUUUCUUCCCCAAACCAGCACCACCCACAACGCCGAUCUUCCUCUCAUCAGCACCGGACCAGCCCCUUCCACCUCUGUCUCUCGUCCCUGACUCUCAACCUCUCCCAAACAGCAGCAAACCGAACCAGCCCCUUCCACCGCUGCCUCUCCACCGCAGCUCAAGCCCCCCCCCAUUUCUCCUUUAAUUUUUCCUCUUCUCCGUUCCACCGAUCGACUGCCUCUCAGCUGCUCCCUUUGCUCUUCACAGCUCCUGAGCCGGCCACCCUUGGCCACAAAAAGAAAAAGCAGCCGCCACCCGAAGACCAGUCUCCGGUGUCCCUCCUGUUCUGCUCCUAGACCGCCGCUGAUCUCCCCACGACUGAAGAACCCAGCUCAGCCCCACGCCGGACAGAGACCAGCGCCGUCCCCCUUGAUCUCUUCCACAACAACCCGGUCGGCAGCGGAUCCAUCCCAUCGCCACCGUAGCUUCAGCGGCCUCGGGCGACCUGCAACCGGCAGAGAACCCCCACAGAGAAGAAGGCGAAACCGAGAGGGGGGCAGAUCCAAAACGACGAAGGAAGAAAGAACCAAAAACAGAUUUGAAACCAAAGAAAAAUUUAAAAUCUACUGCUGUUUGUGCGUUGUUUCCCUUGUUGCAGGUGGCGGUGACCUCCACCGCCGGCGUGGGAAGACGGAGGAGAAGAAGACAUCCCGGACCUCUUUUCUUUUUUUGGUUUCUCACGGCGGCGCGUGAACCCACGCGCCGCCAGUGGCGGUGGCACGUGGGGAGACGCGCCGCCAGUGUUGUUCCGGGGUGCAGAUGGGCUUCAAUGCAAUUCUGGAGUUUUUAGGGACCA